This 81205-nucleotide long non-coding RNA is filed under the name Ananas comosus (pineapple). RNAcentral describes it as "long non-coding RNA (ACOM_LNC029190)". Lineage: Eukaryota; Viridiplantae; Streptophyta; Magnoliopsida; Poales; Bromeliaceae. The record is from RNAcentral.
AAAUUGUUCAAAAAUAAUCCUCAUUGUUUUGAAUUCAAUCGUUCCGAAAAACCCUAAUAUCGAAAAAGAGAUUAGAUCUAAAACAAAUGACGAGGGUGGCUCUGAUACCACUGUAAGAAUAUCAUGUGUACGCAACGGAAGAAAAUAACACAAUUAAAAUAUUCUAAAACCAAAGAUCACCUCGUGUUUCGUUUUAAAUCAUUAAUAAUUGAUCUAAUUGAUCUAAUUAAUAGGAUCUAGUUUUUUUUUUUUUACCUUGCGCGGGUCGAGAUCACCGGAAGUCGACAAUCGUUGGUAAAACUUGUUCAUCCUCGCUUAGCCGCGCACGCGCCCGGCCUCUACUCGCGUCCACACGAAAUCACGCCAUUGAUCGAAUUAGACGACCGCUUCGAUCCGUGAUCCGAUCACGAAUUAACUCUUGCGUCGAUUUGAGGAAGAUGAAUCAAUCUUCUAAAUGUGCUACCAACCUUUUGGAGAUCGAAAACGAUGGAUUAAUUGUGGAAAACUUAAGAAAGAGAGAGAGGAUUGACGGCUAGGGUUUUCUAUUUCUCUUCUAUUAAUUAAUUUUAAUAUGCCAUAUGACAUAUAUUUAUAAUGAGAAAACCUUAAGCCUAAUCCUAAUCCUAAUCGAAAUCCUAAUCCGAUUGGAUUAUCCAUUAACCCACAAGUUAGUUAUAAUAUUAACCAAAUCCGAAUCAUAAUUCUAAUUCGAUUCGUGUGUAACAUUUACAAAUAAGUUCUCAUAUUAUUUACUAACAAUUAGUAAAUACACCAUGCAACUUUUACACACAAAUACCUCUAAUUUACAACAAUUGAAAAUUAGUCCUUUUACUAAUAAAUUAGUAAACUUUAGUAUUUAACUAUAUUAUAAUUGCAAUUAACCUAUCUGAUAAACUUCUUUUAUUGUCUCCUUAACAUCGAUCAUGUGUGAUUUCUUAUAUGUGUGACCUAAUAGGUUUAAUUCUGUUUGGUAAUGAAAUAUGAUGCAAUCCCUAUCUAUAUCAUUAUCGAAACUUCUUUUGAUGGCUCAAACUCUUUUGAUUUCACCCUUAUAGAAUAAUUAAUUAUUUAUAAUUAUUUUUAUUGGCUCCCACAAUCCACUAGUGACGUCUAGCAGUAUGUAGUGGCAAUCUAGUCAGAAGUGAAUAUCGGACUGAAUCUCUAGGUGCAGUUACCGUACAAUACAAUCCUUCUAUCGUAUAGUUCCAACUGAGUGGAGAUCAUAGAAUAUUCGUCAAACCCCAUCACCCAUCAUAUGACAAAUUUGAUAGGACAAAAACACUUAUGAUUACUCUUGAAAACCUCUUUUCAUACACCAUAUUAUCCCGGCCGAGGAUUUUUGAGCUUUGCCUUACAAAUAGUAUAGAACUAAUUAUCUCUCUACCGAGAGCGAUAGAUCUCUAUAAACACACACCCAUUCCUGAUAUGAAUCGACUGCAGCCAACAUAUACUAUUAAGACCCAUGGCUAGGAUCAGAGUUUGUUCCAUAGUCAAACUACAGUAGCCUCACAUUGAAUGGCCGUGGAGUCGCAGGUCUAAGGAUCAUUUGUACCACUGCAACAUCGAACUAGUUACUGACGAAUGAGUAGGCAUCCAUAUAACUGUUCGUAGUUGGUCAUGCUCAGUACCCUUGUUCUCCAACAACCACCUGCAUGUUCGCUCCAGUGUCCCCACACUGAUGACUCGAGAUUUGUCAUCCCAAAAGAGAAGCGACACACAUAUCAAUGUUAUUGGAUCAAUCAUCGUCUCCAUGAUGAUCCAAUGAUUGAGAGCAUUUAAGAAUUAAUCACCGACAAUAUGUAUCUCAAAUUCUCAACUCUUGAGAAUACAUAUUAUCAUCUUAUUAACUCAAAGGACGAUUCAUGGACACAUUAAACAUGAAUGGAAUAAAAAGGCCCAAUUAUAUAAAUAAUAAAGAUUAAGCACAAAUAUAUGUCCCAUAGAAAAUAAAAUGCGUCAGUCUGAUAGGCUUCUAAGGCAUACAACUAACAAUGCUGAGAUAUGGGUGACCUUUGGGAAGUUGGGGCGUCACAGUUGGUAUCAGAGCAGUUCACCAGCCAAAAGUGUGAGGUAAGUUUUGACUAAGCCAAGGUCGGAAUGACAGACUAAGCCAAGGUGUCACGCCCCGAGUCCACACCGGAAGCCCACGAGGACGUCAACAGACCCACCGAAUGGUCAGGGUUUCCCUUGUCUAAACGAAUUCCAAGGGGUUACAUUUGAGAAGUCUCCACAACACAAGAAUCAAGAUGAAAUACAGAAUAAACAAACGACAUGUAUCAGAGCACUAUCUACAAGCUAAACUGCUGUACAUCAUGUACUACAUCAAAUAAUUCUCAAUCCCAAAAAAGUACAAGGAAAAAGCCCUGGCCCUCGCAGUGCAUGCAUGUAGUAUAGAGUAGCACACUAUCUAGUGGUCCAGUAAUGUCUAGGCAUGCUGGUAGGAGAUGCUAUCUACUGCGCGAUACCCCUCGCCUCGAUCAGCCGACUGUAUACGUACCCUAAAAAGUAAACCACAAAAGGGUGUGAGAACUACUGAAUAGUAGUUCCCAGUUGGUACGGUCGACGAUAACCACGGCCUUCCCACUAGGUCUACUGCAGGCGAGAAUAGUGAAAGAACAGUAAAGAAUGCGAUAAAUGUAUAACUAAAGAUAACUGCAAGUACAGUAAAGUCUGCUAUAAAUAGAUAUCUGACUCUGAUCAGAACAGGGAAUGUAUCUACUAAUCACUUUACUGAAAGGAAUAACUGAAUAUAAUAGAAACAGAUCCAUAUACCUACUGAACUCUCAUGCCCUUGUAUAUGUCGUAAAAGUCAGAAAAGAGCUGGUUAGUGCAUGCACCAAAGCUACUGCUACUAAACAAAUGUUGUACUAAUACCCAAUCGCAACGGCCGACUCAUACGUCCGGUCAAACCUACACCCGCCUAUUGCCCGGAAUCGCACUCCCACAGGUGCACCGCUGACAGCUAGGCUCUGCCCCCAGCCCGAACACCACUCCCACAGGUAGGUCGUCUUCCCAAAGGCACACAUAUCUUUGCUAUAACUAGCCAACGUCCAGAGCGGCACUCGAAAGGGAGCGACCCCUACCGAGUCUAAUAGCAAGUAUCUCAGUCAAACCACUAUGGCUCUCCAGUCUAUGGUCUAUAUCAUGGUUAACAAUAUCACGAUACCCAAUACACUGUCCUCAGCAUAGUCAUGGAGAAUACAAGAAGUCGACUGUCACAAGAGAAUGUGCACACAGAAUAAACUACACUCUCUAUGUCCACAUAUUUGCACACUACCACCGUGCUACCCGCGGCCUCUAUCACAAAGUUCAUGGCAUGUACGAGAAAAAUAAAUAAGAGAUGACUCACAUAGAUGGUUCAAAUGAACAACGCACAUAGAUACCUCACCUAACUUAUGUUUUGUAUAGCAUUUAGGGACAAUAGACAACUCAUCACUAUCCACAAGAUGUCGACUAGCCUCCCACGACCUAAGUCAGAAUAUCUAAUAUGAGAUAUGGCUAAUAAUAAGUAUGUCCCGUCUAGUAAAUCAUGGGAUGGUCAAGAAUUACUAGAAAUGACCCAAUGAUCUCAACUCAAUCAUAUAGGUCCAAAAAUCUAUCCACACGUGUCUCACGAAUCCUCGGCCACAAAGUAACCAAAAGAGCGGUCGUCAAAGGUCUCGUGAAGCCUAGACCUCUAUCAUGUAAUUCACGGCAUGCUCAAUGCAAGGAAAAAGGAAAUAACUCGUAUUCAUGCUUCAAGUACGAUAUUGUAACACACUGGGCCCUUGCAAAUGGCGAGGUUCGAGUGAUUGGUCGUGUUCUGAGCUUUUCCAGACUUGCUGGUAGGUCGUUGACUGUGUUCCGACCUAUGACACGUGUCCCGAGGAGUGUGGUACGAAGCCUUGCACCAAAACCCAAAAAUUUGGAUUUUGGUCAGCUCUCGGAUUGGCUGUCUGGCGGGCUUGUACCGGUACAAGGCUGUGCUUGUACCGGUACAGAGCCGCGAGCUUGCAAACCCGAGCCUCGGGUUUGCAUUUUCGCAGGUCUUGUACCGGUACAAGGAUGGUCUUGUACCGGUACAAUGUUGAUGGUUGUACCGGUACAGCCACCGGGCCUGUACCGGUACAGUGCUGCAGAACAGCGCAACCCGAGCCACGGGUUUGGAUUUCGUGGACCUUGUACCGGUACAAGGGACCGUGUACCGGUACAAGGCGGCAGAUUUCGCACAGUUUGGACUGCAGGGGUGUUUUUGAGUUUGUAUCUCUUUUAUUUAUUCCCCCACGCCCCUUAGCUGUUUCUUUGAGCUUGAAACAGCAGGAGACAAGGUAAGGGAACCCUCUCCACCCUUCCACUUGGAUUUGAUCCUCUUUUUGCAUGGUUUUUGAUGGAUCCUUCUUCUCCUUUUUCCUUUUGGUGCUAUUCCACUAUGGUUGAAGCCAAGAGCUUGGAUUUGGAGCUAAGUGGAAGAGAGAUCUUGGAACCUAGAGCAUUUGGAGCUUGAUUUGAAGCUUCUAGAGAGGUUAGCAACAUGAUUUGAGCCUUUGAUCCAUGUUUUUGCUAAAUUUUGAGUUGGAACCCUAGAUUGGAUACUUAGGGUUUAUUUUGGGGAUUUUGAUUCUAGGGCUUUAGAGACUAGAUUGGUGGGUUUAGAACCUUCCUUGGGCUUAGAUUGGAUGAACCCUAGCUCUCUUUUGGAGCUUAGGAGAAGAUUUCUAUUCUUGAGGUGAGUUUGACCCUUUUUGCUCCUAGGUUAAAGAUUGAGCUUAUUGCUCUUCGUAUCGAUUGGAUGACACCCUUUUUGAUGUUCCUAGGGUGCUAGAAAGCUUGUGGAAACCUCCGUUGGAGCAAACGAAAAGCUUCGUUGUCGUUGGUGGGUUUGACCUAGCCUAUAAUAUGAGAAAUCCUCAUAUUUGGUGAUAAGUGUUUCGUAUACUAUUAAUUCAUGCAUGAUCAUGCUAAAUACAUUUAUUAUGAUUUUUAGAAUGCUCAAAAUGCCCAUGUUAUAUGUAAUGAAAUUUCCGGACCUCUAUGUAGUAGCGAGUUGCUGGACAGAUCUAGUGAUGCAUUUGGCAUUCUAUAUGAGACUUGGUUUCAUGCUUCUAUAGUGUAAAUGGGCUUUAAUUCGUGCAUUUAAACUUAGGUUUAUUUGAGACAUGAUGAAUGACAAGUUGCCAUUUAUUGACAUCAAACUUAGAUGCAUGUGAAUUAGAGAGCUAAUGUCAUCAAGCGGCAUUGAGCUCAGGACAAGUGUGAACCUAGUGGAUAGGGCCAUUAAGGGAUUUGGAAAACUUGUGGAACAUCAAAUUGCCUAAGUGUCAUUAAGGGGCACUAGGCGUAGCAAAUGUUGAAAUUUCACAUUGUGACUUAAACUAGAUCUUCGGGAUGCUAGUGACUAUACCAUGUUAGAGACAUGAGAAUUGGAUACUUGAGACUUGGACUAUGCUUGUUUGCCAUUUGUGCUCAUUCGCACAUGCUUGUGAGGGUCGCUCCCUACAAGCCGGCACUCCGGAGUUAGCCUACGCGACUUUUGUUCGUCCGUGCGGUAUUGAGAAGCCUACGGGGUCGAGUGGGACAGACACAUUCCAAGAGUAGGGAUGUUGGGCUACCACAGGCACUUAGGCGGCACAAGCUGGACUACCUUGGGUAGGUCCUCAAGUUGGAAAUGGAAAUCGACACGGUGUUGAAUAUGAACAAUCACUACUAGAUAGGAUUAGUAGUUGGAUUACUUGGACACGCUUAUGAUAUAGCAUUGGUACAUUUAGUAUACUUGUCGGUUUCAUUAUUGCAUCGUAGUAUACUCGGUUGUUUGGAUAGUUUUACCCUUAUGCAUGGACAUAUUGCAACGUGAGGUUUACUUGUUAUUAUGUUGAGACAUAUUAGUAUGCAUCGGAUAUAUUACCUUAUGAUAGCGUAGAUGUACAUCACCAUGACAUCAUGCUUAUUGGAGACUUAGUAGUAUAGCAUUUCAUUCAUGCUUUCUUUCAGCAGUUUUCGUGUUCACUAUUUAUUACAUAUUACUUUAUGUUGUUACUUACCCUUUUCUUUUGGGGCCUAGUGGUGCAUUGAGCUGAGGUCAGUAAUUGCCCACUGGGAACUAUAAAUUAUAGUUCUCACGCCCUCUUUUUCUCGAUGUUUUUCAGAGCCUUCCACUCAGGGUGAGGCCAGGGAUCGCGGGAAGGGAGUUGCUUCGAGCUAGCUUCCUUCGAGGACGAGUUGAUAGGUGGUCUACCUCUCGAUUUUUGUUUUAUUUUGCGAGAGGUGGAGCGUUUUUGCCAGUGUACUAGAGACCACCAUUUUUGUACAUAUGAGACAGACAUUGUACUUCUUAUGACUCUUUUUAUUGACUAGCUUUACUUCUUUACCUUGGUGUAGAUGUUAGAACUAUAUUCGCUCUGAUAUCAUUAGUUGCUUGUUAUUUCACUUCUUCUAGUUGUCUACUACUUGCUUUUACUUCCGCUUUUAUUCUAGACGCCUUAUAUGUGUAGACAUAUGGCGGGUCUGGGCACGCUACCGGGAGGGCCUCCGCCGGUCCCGGGGCGUGACAGAUAUACAUUGUCAAAAUGGACAUACUUACACUUCAUGUUUAAAUUCAUGACUCCUAUGCAUACUCAUGUUUAUACUCCAGUAUUAUGUCUCAUAACCAUGUGUCGAAUGUCUCAAUAUUAUGCUCGAUAUUGUAGAAUCCAUGUACGGAUGGUCAACUACAAUAUACAAUACCAAAUAGACAUAGAAGAAAAUUCGCCGUUUUCAGCGACCGGAACCUACCUUAGUGUGAUACAGCAGCUAAAGCAAGAAAUCCGCCACUCACAGGAUUUUCCUCAGCUCACGGUCGCUCGGAAACACUAAACAAGUCAAAUCAUUUGGAAUUACAAUCAAAAGGCUAAUUUUCUAACCAAGCUCAAUUCAUGCAAAUUGAACGUCAAUUGCCUUAAAUUGUGACUAACGGGACAUGUAUGGUACUUAAAUUCGCGCUCUAGGACAUCCUGCAACCGUCAAUUUGACAUUAGAAUUGUGAAUUUUGCUAAUUGCUUCAAUCAUUCCCGUAAUUCCUUUCCUUCCAUCUUUUCUCCUUUUCUCUCUUCUUUUCUCUUUUUUUCCUUCUCUUUUCCUUUUCUUUCUCUCUUUUCUUCCUCUUUUCCUCUCUCUUCUUCUUUUCUCUUUUUUUUUAAUAGUCUUGCUACCCUGCAGCACCUGCUGCUGCUGCCUGGCAGAAGCAGGCUGCUGCUGUGCUAGCAACGUGUGCUACUGCUGGUGCUGCGCCAGCAGCAGCCAGCUGCUGCAGGAGCUGCAGCAACAACCUACUGCUGCUGCUACAAAAAUUCUUGCAGUAGCAGUGGCACAAGACAGGGAGAGAGGGGGAAGAAAGGGAAGGAAAGAAAGGAGAAAAUGAGGGAAAGAGAAAGGAAGGAAAAGAAAAGGAAAGGAAAGGAAAAGGAGAAGAAAUUUUUUCCUUUCCCUCCAAGUUUUUUUUUCUUCUUCUUCUCUUUCUCUUUUACUUUCUCUUUUCUUUUCUCUUGCACAAGCUUAGAGAGAGAGAAGGAAAAGGAUAAGAAGAAAGAAGAGAAAAAUCUUCUUCUUCUUCUUCUUAGUGGAAUUCCAUUAAGAUGCUCUAUUUGCAUCUUAAUCCAAUUAAGUUUUCUAAUUGCACUUUAGUCCUCAUGAACUAGUAGCCUCAUGCAUCCGUUUUUGCAUCAAUUUCGUGCCAAAAUGGAUUCACCUCAAGCUCCGCAAAUAUAUGCUGCGUGCCAACCCAAACUACAAUCUUGUCCAAUUGGCAAAUUCGGUAUUCUACAUAGGGUCAGUGAAUAACAGGCUAAGUCAGGGUUAGAAUGACAAGGCUAGCGAAAUGAGUCUCACAUCGCCUGGUGAUCUUAGGCUCUGUGUGUGUUUAGGGUUGACGAGGAUGUCAAAGCCUAAACAGGCGGAGUCUGUGACACCUCAGUAGUCCCACAUCAGAUGGAAAUGGGAUUGUCAUUGGAUAUAUAAGAGGACUCUACCCUAGUAAUAAUAACUGGGCAUAAGCAUUUUGGGCCGGUGGUUUUGGCCCAACGAGUUAUUAUUGCUAGCAAGUCGGGUCUUUACACACUGCAUUUAUAUGUGAUUACUAAUAUUUAGUGAUAACAAAGUUUGUCACAGAAUAUUACAUUUAUGACGAUAAUAUUCAUCGCCGAUAUAUUGCCACUAAUAUUUAGUGACAAUAAAAUUUGUCACAAAAUAUUGCUUUUAUGAUGUAUACUCAAGGAUUAUGAGAAUUGUCACCAUUAUUUGUCACUGCAUUGUCGGUCAUAAAAUAUUGCUCUAAUGACAAAAAUAUCAUAAUGUGCUACAAAAUUCUAUUUUAAUAAUAAUAUAAACUACAACAAUAUUUUAUACAGUUCAAAACAAUCAACUUGUAUUUAUGAUAAAAUCAAAUUGACGAGAUUUUUAAGUCUUAAUAACAAAAAGGCAUUAAUAUUCUCAAAUUCGUCAUACAAAAUGCUCCCAAUAUCUCAAAUUUUUUAAGUACAUGACAAAUAGUUUUCAAAUUCAAAUUACAAAUGAUUCAUUCUGAAAUAACUACAUUUGAUUUUAUUGUCCACAUUCAAAAUAAAGGAUUGUCGAAUGCUAACACCAUGUAGAAAUUGCACCACUCAUCCUCACCUGCAAUAAAUUAAAAAUAAAUAUACUUAGACAAAAUUGAAAUAUGAAAGAAAGUAAAAUUAAAAAAUUGAUGUUAAGCAUAAGUAUGAUCCAAGUGGAGAUCCGUUCUUUUUCUCAACGUAUGCCCUUUCCUCAUCCUCUAAUAAUUUCUAACUUAAUUUAACAAAAUAAAGUUAGAAACUAAAACUAAAGGAUCUAGCAAUUCUGACAAAAAGACAUUUUAUAGAGUUAAAAAAAGAGUUUAUCUUAUAUGUGACUAUCGAUUGAACUGUAGGCGAAGUAAUUCCAUCAUACCUAUCAAUUGACCAGUAUAAUAAUAAUAAUAAUAAUAAUACCAAUAGGAGCAACCAUUGUAUUACCCUGCACAUUUCCUAGUUCAAAUAAAUGGAAAAACAAACUCAACAUAAUGAAAACAAACUUCCAAGAACAUGAAUAAAAUUGAUUAAAAAGAUCAAUUAAAUAAGCAUGAAAACCAAAAAUGUUAUGGUUAUACUCCUAAUUCUCUUGUAAUCUUUAUCAAAAAAUAGUUAUAAUCACAAGAUCCAUAUUCCUAGAGAAGGAGAUCACCUGAAGCAUAAAAGCUCAGGAUUUUGUUGGCAUGAUACUCGGAGACAUCAACCAAAUGGGCAAUAAGAAUGCAGUUUAAAAUAUCAGAUAACUGAAUUACAUAAGCUGCAUGCUGUGAUUACAUGCUAAAACUUGAUAUGAAUUGUGAGCAGUAUGAAGAGAGCUAUUUUCUACAACUAGUAUUUUAUAUUUCAUCUAAUUUACCAUCUACAUGAGAGUCGACUUCUACAAACAAGAGUGACAAGCAUAGAAGUCAGCAAGUACAAACAGGCUGGUUCCAUAGCAAAAUAAUAUCCAACAUAAAUAAGGGAGUUUCUAAUUCUGAGAGCAUGCGUCUAUCAUACAAUAGCAUGGUUCUAUAUUUGAAGGACUGUAAUAACAUGAAAAUAGGUAUACAAGUUGCUCAAAACCUAACUAGUUGCUAUGGGAUUAAAUUAUACGAGUAACAAAAAGGCUUACCAAAGAUUUGAAAUUCUCAAACCAUCACAAUAGUCAAUGCAAAUACAAAUCAUUACAUUCCAUAAUAUCCUAAAUUAUUGUCCUAAUCUUCAUUGAACAAAAGUUGUACCUCUAAUUAUUAGAACAAAAUCAUAAAAAUUUUAGGAUGAUUAGUUUCUAAUAUCCGCCUUUUCUCUUCCAAUAAGGCAGGUGUCUCGAGAGGGGUUGACCUCAAAUGUAUCCUAGCAUCAGACUUUCAAAAUUUUAUAGUAGUUCCUUGCUCCGAUAACUAUUUCCAUGUCAUGAUCAACAAGUUUCGAAAUGAUUAACAAAUUUUGAAAAAGAAUAUACAAAUAAUUUAAGCUUAAAUAAAAAAGAGAGAUGAAAACUUACUAUAUUGUGCUAGACUGUGUUUCAUUGUCAGCUCGGUGAGAAGAUAUAGUACCAUCCAAAUGUUUCAAAAUAUUAGUCAUUAUUAUUUCCAAUCUCGUUGUUUGUUAGUUAUUUCUUUCAUCCUUGCUUCCUAUUUUGCCUCUACCCCUGCUUCAAUUUUGUGCUCGCAUCGCUUGAAUUUCUUGUGCUCGACGUAAUUACCUCUUACAUAUCCUAGCACCUCCACUUACAGAGAGGAGCUCGGGAUUGAGGAGAUGAGCUUGUUGGAGGAGCAAACUUCAACACUAGCACUUCAUGACAUGAGUUGGAGUUUAAUUUGAGGUUAGUAUCCUUCUUAUUUUCCCUAUUUAUGAGAUUUGCAUGAGAUUUGCAAGAGAUUUAUGAGGUUAGUAUCCUUCUUGUUUUAGGGUUUUUCUUUUGAAAGCUUUUUAGAUGGAAUUGAUGAGUGUUGAACACUCUUGUAGGUUGAAUUUGAAGCCCCAUUGGGUUGAUUUGAGCCUUAGACAAGUUUUACUUGGUCAAAGAUAAUUUUCACCUAUUUUUUUUUGAAUUUUGGUGAAUUUCGUGGUGAGCUUUUUAGAAGCUCGUAACCCUUUGAGAAUUUUUCUUAGGGUGCUAAAAGUCUUGGAGACAACUUCGUUGGAGAAACGAACAAGGUUUCGGAUGCUAUCCAGUGGGUUUGACCUUAUCGAAGUGGGUGAAUUCUCUCUGUCUUCUAUAUUGCUAUAAGACAUAAAUUGAUGCAUAUUCAUGCAAGAUAUGACAUGGUAGAAUUUUUGAAAACAUGAUACGUACACUCAUGUUAUGUCACGCCCCGAGACUGCCAAUUUGGUCGGUUCGGGCACGUACACAGACGUCGAACGAACAGAACUUCCUCUGUUCGAACAGGAUUACUUUGUUCGAACAGAACUUCUUCUGUUCACCCAAGGCUCCACAACAACCAAACUUGUGUAAGGAAAUGCCUAGAAAAAUUCCAUUAUACAUGGCUUGCACGAGGGCAAGCAUCUAAAGCAAGUGAAAGUAAAACUAUCUAUUACAUCCACACAUUGUAUCUUGAUUAUUUUGAAUCAAAUACAAAGUUUGCAAUUUUAUUUACAUACAUUCUUCCAAUACAUACAAUAAUCAUCUCUCAAAUGAAUUUUUACACUUUCCUUCAUCAACUACAAUAGAUGAAAUAUACAAGGUAUAUCUAUACUCAAUGGAGGUCCGCUAUCUAAUGCGCAAUAUCCAUGCUGCAAUCCUUGACCGCCCCACUCAUGUUAGGAUCUGCAUGGUUAGUGGGGUGAGAACUGCUGAAAGUUUCUAGUGGGUUCGGCUGCCGACCUCGCCGACUCACCCACUAGGUCUACUUCAUAGGAAAAGGAAAUAGAUAAGUAACCAAACUAAUGCUACUACAAUGCCUGUACAAACUGGAAGGGGAUAAUAUACUCAUGAUGCAUGCAUGCUCUUUUACCUUUACCCAAUCCACUUGUUUAACCCUUUAGUUAAACCUCAACUCACCAAACUAAAUCUCUUUUAUCGGGGAGAAUACCACAACCCGACUGGACCGUCUGCUGGGGAGAAUUCCACUACCAACCCAGUUGAUGUCACUCCUGUAACAUAGCGAUUCCCCGUAAGCCGUACAGAGUUCCGUCGAAAUGUGCGGAACGCGAAAAGGAAUGAGUUACUAUAGGCUAGAAGUGCAUUGGAGCCUAUAUGUAAAGUAUAAAGGGACCCGAGAGAGUGAAACUGCAAUUCUGGAGAAGUCCCAGAAAUUUUACUCUCGGGGACUGGUCCCUUGGGUGAGAGACCGGUUCCCGAAUGUUGAUCAGCCGAACGAGGUGAAAAAUCGGCUAAGUCCUGGAAAUUGAGUUCUCGGGAACCGGUCCGCGGGGGAGAGACCGGUCCCGAGAGACCGGUUGCAUUGGGAGGAGACCGGUCCCUUUCUGCGCAGAUUGCAGGAUAGCUCUCGGGGACCGGUCUCUCCUUUGAGAGACCGGUCCCCGAGCCCGAAAUUGCCCAGUAAGGGCUGUUUGCAAAAAUGAAAAGGUGAGGGGCUUAUGUGCAAAAGUGACAUGGGUUGGAUGUAUAGAGGUGAGAGAUGGGGUUGGCUCCCAUUUCUCUCACACCCUAACCCCAAAACCUUUCCCUCUCUCUAUCUAAAAACCUCUCCUUUCCCUCUCCCUUUCUCUAUAGGGCUUGGACCAAGAGGGCUUUUGGGAGGAGCAAGCUUGGAGAAGAAGCUCUCCAAGGUGUAGAGCAAGCUAGAGCAAGGCUUUGAAAGAAAGCUUUAGACUCCAAAGGUGAGUUCUUGUGAUUUUAAAUUAGGUUUUGGGUUUUUGCUUUUAGUUGCUGCAUCUAGGGGCUUCUAUGGUAUUUUCCCCCAUGAUUAUCCAUGUUAGAGACCUAGUUGAGGAAGAUAAUGUUGCAUAAGGACCUAACUUUAGGAUUUUUGGAUUUUGAGGUUCAAUCUUGGGAUUGAUCUCUUUUUAACCUAAUUGGUAGGUCAACAAACACAUCGGUGCGCUCGGUUCGGCGAUACGACGAGCGUGUGCGAAGAUAUUGGAAAAAGAAGCCGAGUCAGUAUAGAUUGCCGCAGCUUGCGGCGAAAGUAUCUAAAAAUUGUGAAAACAGAACCACGGCAUCCUAGUAUCACAUAAAGGUAGGGGGUGCUAUCCGAAAACACCGAGUCUCUUUCUAUGUCUAUGUCACUAUUUUUGAGCAUGUUUGUAUUAUUGCAUUCUUGCAUGUAGGGUAAGGACUGGUAUAUGUUGAUUGCAUCAAUUAUCUGCUUAAGAUUAUUGUGAACGAUAUAAGCACACGUGAACAAGAAAACGAAUAACCCUAUAUGCAUGUGAAUGUGAGAAAAGACUAUGACCAUAGUAAAUAACGGUGACAUUGACUAUAGUGACUCAAUUGGCAUUGAAAUGAGUAUAAUUAAACAAAGUUUAACCCAAGUGGCAUUAUGUGUAUUAUGGCAUCAGGACCAUUGUGGCUUAGUAAAGUGACAUACAUGAUUAGGUAAAGACCUAUCAUCGGUAUUGUGGCAUCAUGGUUAAAGGAAAUGAUUAAACAAGGUUUAGCUUUUCUGGCAUUGAGACUGGUUGGCCAUACCUCCUCAAAUUGAGGAUAGGAUCAUACUCACAUGUAUUGGUUCCGGCUUGUGGGAGGUCGCUCCUCACAAGCAGUGUACUCCGGAGUGAAAAAGCACCACGGGUGAAGGUGCCCGGCGAAGAUCCUUCGGGUGGUUGUGCCUUGUGCCUCCCCCGUUAGAUGGGAUAUGUGGACUGUGAGUCGUGGUAAACCAGAAGCACCCCGGGUUGAUUGGGUAAAGGCCAAAGGAAAGUGAAAAGGACAUGCAUGCAUAAUCAUCAUGUAUUGAAUAUGAAUAUCUAUCUAUGAUUUGCUUUCUUGCAGGCAUUGUAUUAGAAGUGCAUUAGUUGGUUCGUUAUUCUUCUUUAUUGAAAUACAUAUGCCUGAAUUAGACCAAGUGGGCGAAUCGGCGUGGUCGGCGGCCGAACCCACUGGGAACUUCGUUCUAGUUCUCAUUACCACUAACCCUGCAGAUCCGUGCGCGAGCGGGGCAGCGGAGGAUCGAGGCAAGGGUGUUGCGCCGUAGAUAGCGGCCUCAGAGUUUAUAGGCAUACCCUAUGCUUUGGCGUACUCAACUGUAGGUGUUGAACUGUAUAUGAUGAAAAGCAAGAAAUGUAAAUUAUAUUUUGGCUAACGUAAGAAUGAUGUAAGCAAUGUAUUUUGGUUAAAGGCAAAUGUGAGAUAAAUGUAUUAGACGACUUGUGUUUGAUUCAAAUGAAAUCAAAUGACUUGUAUAUUGAAUGCUUAGAUAGUUUCGAUGCUUUCACUUGUGGUUGUUGUUUGCCCUCGUGCAAACCUUGUAUAUCUUGCAAUUCUCUUAGUGAUUUGCUUGUAAUAUACUUGUUAUUAGAGCCUUGGGCGGACAGGGGAGGUACUGUCCGUUCGGCGUCUGUCAUGUGCUCGAAUCCGACCAAAUUGGCGGAGCUCGGGGCAUGACAACUCUGGAGCUCACCGCCCAAGGUGGAGCGACCUACCUCGAGCAUUCAGACUAUCUGUGAGUACAAUCCAAUCCUCACUUGGAGGAUACCAAGCCACAACCUUGACAAGCUCUUUAUUCUAAGUUUAGCAUUUCCAAUUCUAAAUGCUAACCAAUCCAUCUCAUUAUAAUGCCACAAUGUCACAAGUUCCUUUUCCUUGUCUACCAUUCACACUACUUAGUGUUACUCAAGCCAUCAAGUCACAAUGUCACUUGUUCGCUAGUGUCAUAGUUCAAUGUUUCAUACAUCUAUAGGGUUUCUAUGUUCAUCAUCUAUAAUUCACAUGUUCUUUGCUUCCAAAGCAUACAAGAAUGCACAAGUACCACAUAUGUCCCAUUUACCCUAUAAUGCAUGAAUCCACUAUACACAUACAAUAUGCUCAAAAAGCAACUAGACAUAACGGGUCAUUUGAAGACUUCGGAUAUCACCACCCACCUCGUAGGGAUGCCGAGAUGCGAGAACCCAAGUCCCGCGAUUUUUGGAAGCCUAUCUCUCUCAACCCACGACAAACGAAGCCGAAAUGAGGUUUUUCCUCAAUAACUCGAUGUUGACUCGUCGUGUCACGCCCCGAGCUCCGCCUAUUUGGUUGGAUUCGGGCCACGUCAACAGAUGCCGAACGGACAGCAUCUCCCUUGUCCGCCCAAGGCUCCAACAACAAGUAUAAUUAAGCAAUCAAACAACGAGAUUUGCAAUUAUACAAGGCUUGCACGAGGGCAAGCAACAACAAGAAUGAAAGCUCUAAGCUACUGCAUAUAACCACAUACAUAAUAUUUGAUUACAUUUUAACCAAAUAUAAGUAAACUAAAACUAUUACAUUCAUUUUCCUUUCAUCCAUAAUUUCUUUACAUUAUAAUCAUCCAACUCAAAAUACAUGAUUAUUUACAACUUUUACAUUUCUUGAUCAACAAAAUAAAAGUUGAUACAUGAACCAAAAAGGGAAUGGCUAUAAUGUAAAUGCUCCAAUGGCCACUAGUUAUGGCGCAAGACUCUUGCCUUGAUCCUCCGCCGUCCUGCUCGCGCUCGGAUAUGUAGGGUUAGUGGUGUGAGAACUUCAACGAAGUUUCCAGUGGGUUCGGCCACCGACCUCGCCGAUUUACCCACUAGGUCUAUUUAGGCAUAAGUAUUUCAAAGAAAAAAAAAUAGUAACCAUACUAAUACUAAUACUAUGCCUGCAAGAAAACUGUCAAGAAGUAGAUAUAUAAUCAUAUGAUGAUAAAUAUGCAUGCAUGCUUUAUCCACAAUUACCUUGGCUUUUACCCAAUUGCACCGGUUAACCUUGUUAACCCCAAAAACUCACAACCUGAAAUUCCUUUUGUUCGAGGAGGCUCCAAGCACUUCCACUCGAGGGACCGUCUUCGGGGCCACUAUCCCUGUGGUGACCAACUCCGGAGCGCACCGCUUGAGGAGGAGCUACCACCCUCAAGCUAAGACUUAUCAUGAGCAUCGAUUCAAUUCCCAAUUUGGGAAUGUAAAGCCACUAGCCACAAUGCCACUAUCAUAACAGGUUUCUCCCUUGUUAUUAAUACCACUUUCUAGGUUACUCUUGCCAUAAUGCCACUGUUAGUUAAACCUUGUUUAAUGAUUCAUUUCUCAAUGCUAAUCUUGUCUCUAUUGUCAAUGUCACAUUUGUUUACUAUUAUCAUAGUCCAAGUCUCACAUUCACAGAAGUAUAGGGUUCCAACAAACAUGUCCUCUAUGGUUCAUAUGAAUCACUAUGUUCAUCUAUGUUAGAAGCAUAUAAUUAAAGCUCAACCAACAUUCACAUGUAAAUUACCCUAUUAUGCAUGAAUGACUAUUGACAUAUAUGCUCAAUAAAAGGUGUAUAGACAUAGAAGGGAAUCCAACGAUUCCAGAGUGCACCCCCCACCUCGAAUAGUAGCAAAGGAGUUAGGAUUCGAUUCUCGUGAUUUUUAGACUCCUAUUCCGCGUGCUGCGGCGAUCUGUAUCAAAAUAGAGCCAAAUUAGGCUUUUUACUAAAUAUCUUUACAUAGACUCUUCGUUUCCCCGAACCAAGUCCACCAACGCGUCGGAAAUACCUCUAAUUAGAUUUCCACAAGGUCAAUUUACCUCGAAAACAACUUAGGGCAAAAGCCCCAAAUUUGGUGCCCUAACAAUGUCAUAUAGCUAAGUUUUUUGGAUUGAUCUUUGAGCUAAGCAAAAACAAGCUUAGAACUGCCCAAGAAGUUCUCUAAUACCAUUUCUAACUCAUUUGGACCAUCCCUAGGACAUUUAACAUGAACCCUAGAAGUUCACCAUGAGAGCACUUGAAGAAACCAUGAAUUUUCAUGGGUUCAAGGCCUCAAGAGAGUUUCUAGCUUUGCAAGAAGACCAAAACUCUAAGACUUAGGAUAAAAAUCCAAACCCUAGAACCAUUCUUGCAUAAAAACUCACCUUAGCCUAAGAGCACUAUCACGCCCCGCGACCGCCAAUUUGGUCGGUUCGGGCACGUCAACAGAUGCCGAACGGACAGCACCUCCCCUGUCCGCCCAAGGCUCCAACAAUACAUGUAUAACAAUAGCAAUUCAAACAUAAUGAAUGCAAGUAUACACGGCUUACACGAGGGCAAGCAACAACCAAACAUAAGUGAGAGCAAUCUAACUAUUACAUUUAUACAUUGUAUAUUGAUCACUUUCAAUCAAAUACAAAGCUUAUACAAUUUCUUUACAUUCAUUCAUCUCAAUUUACAAUUUCAUCUCUCAAAGGAUCUUAAUACAUUUUCACCUUUCACAUAAUUUUAUUACAUUUCCAUUUUACAUUUUACAUCAUCGACAUAAUAGAUGAAACAUAUACAAGGGUGCCUCUAUACAUAAAGGUAGCACACUACCUAGAGCACGAUAACCACGCCACGAGCCCCGAUCGCCCCGCUCGCGCUAGAACCUGCAUGGUUAGUGGGAUGAGAACUAGAAGAAGUUCCCAGUGGGUUCGGCCACCGACUGCGCCGAUUCGCCCACUAGGUCUAUUUCAGGUAUAUGUAAUUCAAUAAAGAAGGAUAACAAAUCAACUAAUGCACUUCUAAUACAAUGUCUGCAAAAAAGCAAAUCACAGAUAGAUAUUCAUAUUCAAAUACAUGAUGAUUAUGCAUGCAUGUCCUUUUCACUUUCCUAUGGUCAACUCGGGGUGCUCCUGGUUUACCCCAACACACAGUCCACACACUUUCCUUUGGCCUUUACCCAAUCAACCCGGGGUGCUCCUGAUUUACCCCAACUCACAGUCCACAUAUCCAUCUAACGGGGGAGGCACAAGGCACUACCACCCGAAGGAUUUUCGCCGGGCACGUCCACCCGUGGUGUUUUCAUCACUCCGAAGCACACCGCCUGUGGAGGAGCGACCUCCCACAAGCCGGAACCAAUACAUAUGAGUAUGAUCCCCUCCUCAAUUUGAGGAGGUAUAGCCAAACCUGUCUCAAUGCCACAAUGCCGAUGAAAGGUCUUUACCUAUUCAUGCAUAUACUACCAUUUCCCAAUAUCACAAUGGCCCUGAUGCCACAAUAAGCUAAAUCUUGUUUAGUCAUUUUCUUUAACCAUGAUGCCACACUACCGAUGAUAGGUCUUUACCUAAUCAUGUAUGUCACUUUACUAAGCCACAAUGGUCACAAUGCAUAGAAUGGUCUUUACAACUUUAACCAUGAUGCCACAAUACUGAUGAUAGGUCUUUACCUAAUCAUGUAUGUCACUUUACUAAGCCACAAUGUCCACUAAUGGGAUAGUCAAUAUUUCACAAUGCUUUAAGGUUUUACCUUAUCUAGCACAAUCUGUUCUCGGUGCCAAUCAUGUCACUAGAGUCAAUGUCACCUUUAUUUACUAUCGAUCAAGUCUUUUCUUACUUUUACAUACAUAUAGGGUUGUUCAUUUUCUCGUUCUCAUGGCUGUACAACAUGUUUGCGAUGUUCAUAAGCAGAUAAUUGAUACAAUCAAUAUUUAUCUCAUUAUCCUACAUGCAUGAGUACAACAUUAUCAACAUGCUCAAAGAAGUGACAUAGACAUAGAAAGAGAUCCGGUGUUUUCGGACAGCACCCCCCACCUUGUAGGAAUGCUGAGAAGCCCCGAUUCCAUUUUCACGAUUUUUAGACACCUACGCCGCGAGCUGCGGCCAUCUGUACCAAUUUAGCUUGUUUCUUCAAUAUCUUUGUAUCGGCUCGACGAAUCGACGAACCGUCGCUUCCCUCGCGUUCGUUGACCUGCCAAUUAGGUUAACAAAAGAUCAAACUCAAGUUAGAUCUCAACUUUACAAAAUCCCAUUUUCUAACCCCUAUGGUUUAUCAUCUUUCCCAAAUUGGUCCCUAGACCAUAGAAAUCCAUGAAUGACGUCACCAUGACAUCUCCUAGAAGCUAGAUCUAGAAGGAAACACCAAACCCUAACAUCAAAACCAUAAAACCCUCAAAACCUAGGGUACUUAUCUCAAAUCCAAGCUUUUUUUCCAAACUAGGUUGCCAUGAGAGGGUUGCUUCUCCACCAAGCCAUCUUUUUUCCAUCAAAACUCCACCAUUGGAGCACCUCCAAGAGAGAGGGAGAGAGAUCUAGAGAGGGAAAGAGGGUUUCAUUUGUGUUGGAGAGGAGAGAAAUGAGGGCUAAACCUCAUUACACUCACCCUAUACACUCACAACACAAUUGCACAUAACCCCCCACACCCCUCAAUGUUUAACACAAUGAUCCAGCCCAAACUGGGCAUUUUCGGGUGCUGGGACCGGUCCCAGGCAAUGAGAGACCGGUCCCCGAAAGGCCAGAAAAUCAGCAUUCCAGACUUAGCCAAAUUUUCAGCAUUUUCAGCCUUCGGGUCUGUUUUUUCGCUCGUUUUCGCUCGUUUGACCUCCGAUUCGUUUCAAAUCGAACUGAGACUCUCCAAACAUGUUUUUGAACAUGUUUUCAUCAUCUUUUCAUCCAUGCCCUUGCUAAAUUUAGUCCAUGGUCCAACAUAGACUUUCGGGUUCCGUUUUUGCGCCCUACGCACAUUGAAGCAACGGAAUGCUUCCGAACUUCACCGUAACCAUUCUAAUGGCUUUCCAAGCUAACAUACACCAUAACUUCAUAAUUAUAGAAGUUCAGUAUGUUACAAGCACUCCAAGGUCCACCUUGUAGGAGAGCUCAAACCCUUCAAAUCCUCCAAAAUCCACCUUCAAAUCCUCCUUUUAGCUCAUUAGCCUUUGAAGAGAGAUUCCCAGAGAGAGAGAGGGAGGAAAUAGGUUGGAGAUGGUGUUCACAGCUGCUGUGAACCAGUGGGUAUAUUGGGGUAUUUUAUAGAUUGCAACAAUAGCAACCAAGCCCCCCAAACACUCUAUUUUGCAUCAGACCAAUUCUUUGCUGCCAGACCAAAGUGUACCGGUACAGGCCUUUCUGUCUCCGGUAACACGAUCGCACAGAGGCAAACCUGAGAGCAGCUUCUCUCGGCCAGCAGUUUAGUACCGGUACAACAUUGAUUGAUGUUGUACCGGUACACUUUGCCCAGACUGUAGUUUUUUUGCAUCUUUUCGUUUCUACUUUGCUCCAAUCAAUGCAAAAACCUUUCUAAAUCUUUUAAACUCAUUUUUAAUCCUUCCAACCUUGUUGGAAUGCCAAUUGGAACUUGUCCAACUAUCUCUUUCGCAUACUUUAAUCAAUUUGGCUAAAGUUCGAUAAUCUCUACCGAGGUUUCGAUAUAUUACACAUCGGAACUUCGAUCCGAGCCUUCCAACGCAUCAGUUUUACCUUCAAUUAGGAUUACAUGAGAUUAAUUCUAAGCUAGAUCUCCAAUCCUACAAACUCCCAUUUUCAUGCUUAGGUUCAACAUAACCUUCUCAUACUCAAAAUUCUUAGGAAAUUAUGGAGUAAUCCAAACUUCCAUAACCUAAGAAUCUCAAAACUAAGCAAUUUAGGGAAUUUACAUCAAACCCUAACCAAGAGGAGCAAGAGAACUCACCUUGACUCCAUCGCUACCCAAGCUCAUCUUGUUCUUGAGCUUCAUCAACACUAAAACCACCAACUUCCCUUCAAUCCAGCCUCAAUAUCCUCAAAACCCUUUUGUUGGAGAGAUCCUAGAGAGAGAAAGAGAAGGAAAUGAGAAGGAGAAGAGAACAAUGCUUCUCUUGCAUGAGGAGUGUACCGAUGUUGGGGUUGGAAUUAUAUAGGCCCGCAACAAUUACCUUUAAACCCCUCCACAAUACUCUUCUCAUUUCGUACAUUUCAGUCCUUAACAAACUAGGUACCGGUACCCACUAUCUAGUACCGGUACCAGCUCCUACAUCCCGAGCUGCGUAACCACUGGUUUGCGGCACAGUACCAGUAUUCAACUCCAGUACCAGUACCUGACCAUUUCGGUACCGGUACCAGCCUCAGGUACCGGUACACAGCUUACCCUUGUACGAAUCCCAAGAGCUGUCCAACAUCUCUUCAACUGGGUACCGAUACCGCAUUGGCCUAGUACCGGUACUCAAUGUCCCAUGUGCAUUUCCGGCAACUACCGGGUUUCGGACUCCGUUUUCGCACCCAAUUUGUGCCAAAAACACUCAAACAUCUCCGAAACACCUUCUAACCAUCCAAACACCUUCAAGGUUAUUCGGGUACCUCGUUUAUCAUUCACAUACCUCACUUUGAUCAAUUCGAUCAAAGUUUGCAUUGUGAUUCGGGAAUUCGGUAUGUUACAUGUUACAUAUAGAAGUUUUCAUACUCUAUAUAGUAGAGGCUUAUAAUGUGGAUUGGUACGUACACUAAAUAGAAUGUAAUUGUAUUUCCUCUUAUGCAACAUUAGAAUGCGUGAUAGAGAUGAGUAAUUGAAUGUCCUAUGGGACCUUACAUGGUUAGUGGAAUUAUCGAGUUCAACUUGCAUGAUAAGUAAUAUACUUGUUUUAGACAAGGGCAAAAAUGACCUAUUGCAUAGUAGAGAUAAAUAGUGAAGUUAAGCAUGUGCACUUAACUUAGUUGAACAACUAAUUGGGCAUUAUGACAUUGUAUUCGACCUCUAGGUCGCUAGUUGCAUUUCAUGUUUUAGACAUGACGAAAGAGAUUUCUAUGCUUUUGGGCGAAUAAAAAGGGCAAUUGCAUAUAAUUGCUUAGUUGAAUGAAAGUUACUUGCAUGAUGACCAUCAUACUCCAUGAAGUGGAGGUUUGUGUAGCAAGGCAUGUGCAUGACCUGAAUCAUGAUCUAGUUGACAUCCUCGUAGCUCAUUGAAUAUGAUAUUGGUAAGUUGUUCACUUUACACUAUAGUGGAAACAGUAUACUUAUGAAACUGUUAUAGUGUAAACAGUAUACUUAUGAAACCCUGUUGGUUCUUGAAUAAAAUAGAGAACCAUCCUUGAUAGGAUAAAUGAGAUGUAAACCAGUACAUGCUUUAGGCAUGUUAUGUAUCGGUAGAGACAUACCACCAAGUUGAUUGAGAAUGAAACUUGACAUAUAUGAUAUAGUACCCGACCUUUGAGUCGAUGAUUGUGAUUCCAUGUUUUAGACAUGAUGAUUGAGAUAUGUGGUCUUUAGACUUGAUGCUUAUGAUCACGCUUGCUUCCUUCUGUGCUCAUUCACAUAAGCUUGUGAGGGUCGCUCCCUACAAGCUGGUACUCCAGAGUUAGCCUUUGCGACGACAGAUCGCCCAUGCGGGAUUGGGCACCGAAAUGGAUUGCUGUGGGGGAGGCUCAUUCCUAGAGGGAAAAUAUUGACUACCACGGGGCUAUUAGGCACGGCACAAGCCGGAAAGUUAUCAUGUGUAAGUCCCUCGUUAAUUGGGUAAAGAUUAAGUAAACUUGACAUAGUACAUCAUAAUUAGUUGAUGCAUAUAUAGUAGAUGGGCAUACUACUGGAUUAUUACUUUGUGACGCUACUUGAUACAUUCGUAGUAGUUGGGCAUUGAUGUUAAUCAUUGUUGCAUUGACAACCUUAGUAGUAGUAAAUCUAUAUACACAUGUUGAUUAGUAUAGAAGUAUAGCUAUAUGAUGAAAAUGAAAGUGAAUUACCUGUGCAUGUAAACUUGCAUGUGAAUUUGCAUAUAGACUUGCAUAUACAAGUACUUGUGCAUGUGACAGUAGAAAACUACAUACAUGUUAAAUGACAUUAUCAUGUAGAGGCAUGACUAUAAUUGAAUGUUCAAUUUAUUGUUAACUGUAUGCUUAAUGUAGGUUAUGGAAACCCUAGGAUUUAUCUAGAUACUAUCAAACACCUAGAGGGGGGUGAAUAGGUGUAUAACCCAAAAACACAAAUCUCAAUGCGAUAAAAAUAAAUAUGAAAAAUUAAAUAGCACACCAAGAUUUACAUGGAAAAACUCUAAUUUGGAGAAAAACCUACGGGACCAACACGCGAAAAAACAAUCCACUAAGAGAAAAAGAUUUUAAGGUAAUUACCGACUCCAUGGGCUCGACCUUUCUUUAACCUUAUACGGAUCUCGCACACGUCAUCGGGUUAUCCACGCCCCACGUCCGAAUCUACGAACGCCACGCUUGACGUUCGAAUCCACGAACACCACGUCCCGAAUCCACGAGAUGCCUACCUUCGAAUCCACGAAGCCUUGAUCACGCUGAAUCAACGAUGCCCACUCGAAUCCACGAGUGCACUCCGUCCGGAGCAAGAACAAUACGAUUGGUGAUGAUUUACUGUUUAGAAUCUCAUUAAAAAUCUGUGAGAAUAAUUUCUAAGCAAUUCUCAAAUUGAUUAAAGAAGAACAUUAAGAAUUAGGGCACCAAGAAUCAAUUUAAGAGAAGCUUGUUGUAGAAGAUGAGAAAAACGGCUACCUACAAGCUUCUAGGGUUUCUAAACGAUAAUCUAGGCUUAACCAUAUUUUAGAGAUACCCUCACAUCUUAUUUAUAGGUUUAGAAGACAUUAGAAAUAGAUUAGGAUUAAAAAAAACCAUAUUUGGAAACUCAAAACCAUAUUUGGAAAACUCACGUUGGGUUUAGGGUCCGGACUUCCAAUAGGGUUCGGAUCUUGAAAGUCCAAAUCUUGAUUCCAACGUCCGGACCCUCCCUGCGUAACAGCAAAACCGACGUACGGGUUCCGGACCCUGGACCCAAGGUCCGGACCCUCUCUGCGUAUCAGCCAGGAGGGCGUACGGGUUCCAGACCUUGCACCUAGGGUCCGGAUCCUGAAACUUGGAAAACUCAGUUUUGAAUUUUUUAUCAAUUUAUACAUAUUCUAAUAUCUUCGAAACACUUGUAAAUGCUCAUAAAUUAUCAUCAACAUAAUUUAAACUUAUUGGGCAUUGUGGAUUCAUGUUUUGCGUCUUUGAGUCUUCAAUCUUCGUCCUUCUUUAAACUUUCAAGACUCCGACUUCACGAAAUAUACCAAUUUAAAAUUUAUAACACUUAACGCUUAUUGCAUAUCAUCAUGCCUCAGUUGACCUAUUGGUGUAUUUCGCCACUCUCGGCGGCUUACCCACUGGGAACUAUUGUUUAAUAGUUCUCACUUUCAUUGGUUGUUUGUUUUUGUUUCAGAGCCUUUCACAGUAGGAGAGGCUAGGGAUCGUGGCAAAGGGUCAUCGACUAGCUAGCGCCUCCUCGGUGUUAUUAUAGUUGAACCCGUAGACACCUUUCUUUUGGUUUAGUUUGAAUGAUGUAUAACUGUACCUUUGUUCUUCUUUGUAAUUCUUGAAAAGGUAACUUUAUAUAGUAGACUUAUGUAUUUUCUUUGAUAGCCCUGUUAGGAAUUUAUUUCUACUUCUUUCCAUAUUGUUGUAGAUGCCUUGUGUGCACCGAGGGUACUUGGUGUACAUGGCAAGUCUGUGCACGCGUCGGGCGGGCUUCCGCUGGAGCCCGGGUGUGGCAUAGGGUAUUGGAAUUGAAGGUGGUAAUUGGUUUACCGCAAAUGAAUGCGGUGAAUGGUUAACCGCAUUUAUAAACGGUAAACUAUUCACCGUCUUCAUAAGCGGUAAAUAGUCUACCACAUUCUAUUGCGAUGAACCAUUUACAACAUUCUUGAUUUUUCACUAUAUUCUCACAGGCCUACAAACGCGGUGAAUGGUUUACCAUAUUCUUAUAUGCGGUGAACCAUUUACUGUAUUUGAUCAAUUUACUGGCCCAACCUAUUUGAGCCCUAUUUUUACAAUAAAAUUUUUAUCAGGACUGUUUUUAAAAUUAUAAAAUUUAGUAAGAUUAUUUAUAAAGAAAUUCCUUUAUAUAAGUUUUGCGUAAUUUGAUUGAUUUUUUUUUUCAUAAAUGAUCCUACCAAAUUUUACAAUUUCAAAAAUAGACUUUUUAAAAAAUAAUUAUAAAAAUAAACCUCUAAUAUGCUACAUUAAAUUUUUGAAAAAAUAAAUAACACAAGCGGUGAAUGAAUCACCGUAUUUAAAUGCGGCGAAUUAUUCACUGCUUUCAUAACUUCUCUUUUCAUUCAUUCUUUCAUCAUAUAUUUUUUAAAAGCGGUAAACCAUUCACCGCUUUCUUUCUCCGUAAAAAAUUUGAUGAAUGCGGUGAAUCAUUUACCGUUUUUAUUUUUUUUAUUUUUUCAGAAGACUAUAUUUACAAAUAAAAUUUUGACGAAUCUAAUUUUAAAAUAAAAUAAAAUAAAAGCCUAAUAUACUAAAAUCUCCCAUUUGAUCGUUGACAAUUUGUGGCUGAUCCCACAAGGGAAGUGGAAUGGUGGUGUUGGUGGGUCCCAGUUGGGUAAUAGAAAAAGUUGGGCCUCGGCAUAGGAAGUGUCGAACCCCCGCGUCUCAUCGGAGAAGCCGCCCGUCUUCUUCUUUACAACAUCAUAUUAUUCUCAAUUCCCCCAGUCUUAUAACCAAGCAGGUGAAGAACAAGAAAGAAGAGAAAGUUAGAACGGCCAAAGAGUUAAGAGGUAGGUGACAUUUCUCUGACCCGACAACAUUGUUGAGCUGUGGAGGAAGCAUACAUAGGACUCGAUCGCCAUGUGUUAUUAGAUGGUAUGCUAGCUUCUUUUCUCUUCGCUUAUUUUUAUCCUGAAGCGUCCCUUUCUUUUUAGUAGUUUGAGAUAAGAGAUGAAUAAAAGGCUAGUAACUGUGUUUUGGACAUGCGAGUUAUGCUUAUGUUGUAUAGCUUCUCGAAGGUAUUAAUUAAGCAGAUCAAGUAGGCUAAAAUUUUAAGCCCCUUAAUUGCAGCAUGGGACGACUCUCUAUCAGGUACUUUGGCCUUGCCGAAGGGUAUGGUGCUGUUUGCAUUGUGCUAUUACGAGAACAUUAUACUGAAUACCCUUGAAAUCUUCUUUUGCUAUUAGAAUUACAAGCACUGAAUUCGCCUGCUGCUUUUGAGAACAGGAAUCUCAUUUCUACUUCCAGCUGUUUCUAUUUGAAGUGCCAAGACUCUCUCUUUUUGCUGCACUCUAGUGAAAUAGAAUGAUAUUCUACGGCAGGAAAUAUAGAAGUGGGGCCAAAAAGGCCCUAAGGCUUAUGUCUGAGCUCUGUUGUUUAGGCCUUUGAUAACCUUUCAAAGAACCUGCUCUUUUAGUAGCAACUUACUACGAAGUUUCACAUGGUCAGUUAAUAAACUGAACUUUAAUUUUUAUUUUGGUCAAGUCACUUUAUCAAAUUUAAUUUGCUUAAUAGAGGGAUUACAUGAGAGCAGAUUCUACCCCUCUCCAAGAGACAAUAUAGCAAACUAUGUUGCACAGAAAUGGAUAUAACACAACAGUUCUUAAAAACUUUAGAAUACAAUAUGUGGGGUGUAAUCGAAUAAAAUAUUAAUUUUAUAUAUAUAUUUAAAUAUAUGUUGAUUGUAUAUAAUGAUAUAUUAAGAACAAUCAGGAUAUUUGGAUUAUACUAAGAAAAAUAUACUAAUAUACAUUAGCUUGUACAAUUCUUUUAAAUUUGUUCCUCACAAAUAGGGAUGUCAAUGGGUACGAAUACCCGAAAUUUUAUCCGAACCCGAACCCGAAGGGAGCGGAUAUAUCCAAUGCUAAACGGAUAUGGAUUCGGAUAUGGAUAUCAAAAAUAAAAACCCGACGGAUAUGGAUUUGGAUAUGGAUUUUGACUGUACCCGUCCUGAACCUGAACCUGAACCUGAACUUGAACCCGACCCAAACCCGAAUUUAUUUUGCAUUAUAUAUAAUAUAUAUAUAAAAAUUUGAUGUUAUAUUUGAAUUUGUAUUUUAAAAAUUUAGAUUUAAUGUAAUAUAUUUUUAAAUAUUGAAAAAAUAAUAAUUGUUUCGGGUUCGAAUUUUCGGGUUCGGGUUUCGAAUUUUUGGUCGGAUUAGGGUUUUGAUGUGGAUUUUUAAAAUCCACUGGGUUCGGAUUCAGGUUCAAGUCUCGGGUUUGGAAUCGGUUUGGGUUCGGGUUAGUGUUUUUGAAAAUCCGCCCCGAAUCCGACCCGUUGACAUCUCUACUCACAAAAGGUAAUUAAUCGUAUUAAAUAAUAAUCCAAAAAUAUCAACCAACCAUCAUCCAACUUGAGCAAAUGAUAAUUGUUGAUUAAAAACUCAAAAUUUUGAUUUUUGAAUUUAUUUUGUUUUUGAAUUUAUUUUAUUUAAUAUUUUAUUUAUUUAUUAUUUAUUUAUUCACCUUUCUUGGUGCGUAAGAAAACCUAAUGGGAUUUUCUGCUGUUCCUUUUCUUGCGCCAAAAGGGAGAGAACAUGUGUUCUGUUACUUUUGCCUAACAAGAAAGAACAUGGUCCGACUCUUUUUUACUCCCUGUUCCCUUUAUAUACAUUCAUCCUCUGUUCUUACAGAGAUAGAGAAAAGACAUUGAGAUAAAAAAAAUAGUCAUCAUCUUUUCAUUUUUCACAACUUUUUACAUUUCUCUUAUGAUGCAAACCGAGAGGUUGCCAAAAUUGAAUUUUCAAGUUUGCUUUUGUUUAAAGAUAAAACUAGGUUUAAUUUAUCAAUUCCGAUGAACUUUAAGCAAGAAAGCAAAAAUUUCAGCAAGACAAAAAUUAAAAUCGAAUUGAAGUAAUACUAAGAUGAUGAUAACCUUCAAUAUAUAAGAUAAUAACAACCAAUUGAAAAUACAUAUAAUAGUUUCAAAAGGUAAAUUCGGCUUUAUCGGACUUAAAGCUUUAGGUUUGGUUGCUUGGUAAAUAUAGUUGGUAAUGGUGGAAGGCUAGAUUAAAAGGGGAUAAUAGGAUAUCAGGAGAUGAGAGAUACAAAAAGUGCACCGUUCACACGAUUGCGGGGGAUCCAUGAUUGACGAGGAGGGCGGUACACCAUGGGUAAAACUUCGGUAACGGGGAAGAAGAAGAUGAGGUAGUGACUCGGAAGAAGAGGAAGAGUAGAAGUAAAAGCCGAUCUUGUCACGAGAAAGAAACGACAACGAUCAAGUUGAGGAAAAAGACGAUCUCAGCGCGAGGAAGAAGCGUCGAUGAUCUCACCGGGAAGUAGAACACCAAGGAUAAAGAGUGAGAGUAGAAUUUUCUAUUCAUCCAAAUAUAUCUUCUAAGGCUUCAAGAACCAUGUAUUUAUAGUGUUGAGAGCCCUUUGAUAAUAAAUUAUUGUCUUUUCGUUUUCAACACAACACGGUCACCCAAGAGUCAUGCAUAGAAAACGAAGCAAUUUUGGGAAAUUCCAAAGGUCUUUUUGGGAUUGUUUCUUUGUUUAUUGGAGAAAAGGGUUUGAGUUAGCCAAAUCAACUAAAAUUAAAUGAUUUAAGUCCGAAUCAAACACGAACCUACAAAAUAAAAGAAAAUUGCAUUCAAAAAUAAAAUGAGGUUUAUUUGCUGCAUCAUCUUAUUUACUGGAUGUUGAAAGAAUUCCCUUCAACUUCCAACACGAUCGUGCUCGCAGGAGGAGAAAUUCUGGUCGUACUUUGGAGUGUUAUUCUCGGUUAAUCCCGCACAAAGGACAGAAAUAUGCCUUGGGGCAGUACUACGCACGCUUCCUGAUAGAUCAAAUCUUCUAUUUAGAUUUUUGCUCUCAUCUAUAAGUUUAAUUUUAUCUUUAUUACUACAUUAGUUAUAUUUUAAUUACAAUCGGAUUUAGUAGUACUAUAUUUUCUCCAACAAUCUAAGGCGUACUUUCCCAACCUGAUUGUGGUUAAAAAUCUAAUGGGUGCUAAUCUGUUUUUUUUAAAAAAAAAUAUUGCCUAUAAUUCCUAUUUGACAACUUUACUAUAUACUUGUCAUCUAUGAUGCACGGAUACUUCAAAUUUCAUGCCGUAUCCGUAUCGGAUACGUAUCGGAUACCGAUACGCGCCCGAUACGUGUCCGAUACGGGAAUGAAGUAUCUGGCAUUUUUAAAAAAUAAAAAAAUAUCGGAUAUGGCUCGGAUACGUGAGGGAUACGGGGGGAUACGGGGGGGACACGGCACGGUUCUUUUUUGGUCUAAAAUGAUUGAAACUUAAAAUUUUUUUAAAAGCUCACGUCCAAACCUAUUGGAAAGAAGGAAAAGAGUGAGAAAAACACCAAUAUCUGUUCAAUUUGUCAUUUCAUCUAUCUUUUUGUUCUUGAAUGGUAGAAGGCCUCUUGUUCUAUCUUCACACAGUAUUUACUCUCUUCCAUCUAAUUUGUCAACCUAGUAUUAAGCAACAAAGGCUAUAGAAAAUAUGAUUUUUUUGUCCUUCUCUAUUAAAUUGUUAGCAUAUUUUUUUAUUACUAUUUUAAUAAUAGAACUAACAAAUCAGACAUAUAUAUUGAAUGGCUAAUUAUCUAGUUUGUGCGACUAUAUAUUUAUUGUUAUCAUUUGAUCAAGUUGAAUGAUAGUUGGUUUGAUACUUUUUGAAUUAUUAUUUAAUAUGAUUGAUUAUCUUUUUUCAUGAACAUAUGUAAAAUAAUUAUACAAGUUAAUGCAUAUUAGAAUAUAUUCCUUAAUAUAGUCUAGAUAUUCUAAUUGUUCUCAAUAUAUCAUUACAUAUAAUCAACAUACAUUUAAAUAUAUUUAAAAUAAUAUUUUAUUUAAGUAUAUCCCGCGUAUCGUAUCCUAGAAGUUUUAGAAAUUGCCGUAUCACCGUAUCCGUAUCGUGUCGUAUCCGUAUCCCCGUAUCCGUAUCUGUGCAACAUAGCUUGUCAUAUAAAUUAAAAUAUUUCGGAAUCAGCACUUUAAAUUAGUAAUUUCAUAUCUUUAUAGUUUAAAUUGCAAACCUUUAUUUAUAUAUAAUUUUUUAUGGUAUACUGCUGUUUUUUAAUAAAAAGGAGUUUGUACGGACAUUAUUUUUGUUAUAGUAAAAAAAAAGGCUUAAAAAAAUUAAUUUUUCUGUAGCCUUGGUUUUUUUUAAAAAACAUUACUGUUGAAAAAAUAUUGACUUUUCCUGAAAAAAGGAUUUUACUGUAGCUUAAAGAAAUUAUGGUGUAUUGCUAUUUUAAAAAAAAAGAACAUUAGAGUUUUGAUUUUUUACAAUUUAAAGAAAAGGAGGUUUAAUUUUCUGUAUUAAAAAGACUAUUGAAAAAAAAGAAAAGGGUGUUUUUGCUUUCUACGGGAUUUGAACCCAAAGCUUUUAUUUUGCCCUAUAAAAAAAAUGGACAGGACAUUGAUUUUCUGUACCUUUAACAAAAAAAGGUUUAGUCACUAUAGCAAAAAAUCCUUAAUAUUUUAAAAAUAUUUCAUUAUAAAAAAAAUUAAAAUUAAAUUAAAAUUAAAAUACAAAAUAUAAAAAUAAUUGAAAAUUCAGUUUGCACCUCAAAACAUAAAAUUAAAUUUAUAAUUUAAAUUCAAACUAAAAGUUAAAUAUUAAAAAUUUACAUCAAAAUAUUGAAAUGAUAUGCCAAAAUUUUAAAUGUAAUAUUUUAAAAGAUUAAAAUUUAAAAUUGUGUGGGCAAUUUAAAAUAUAAAACUAAUUUUUGAUUUGAUUCAGAUUCAAACUUACAAUUAAAUUUAAAAUUAAAUUUAUAUAUCAAAUUCAAAAUGCUUGAUUGAAUUUAUAUUUUAAUUUAAUUUCUAAUUGAAAAUCUAGAAUUAAAAAUUAAUUUUAAAUUUUAAAUUUAUAAUUUAAUUAAAAAUUAAAGUAAAAAAUUUAAUUUAAUUUUAAAUAACAAAUAUGAAAUAUAAUUUAGAUAUUUUUGUAAAGUGCAUUCUUUCCACCUAGAUUCAACUUCUAAUCCGGCUUGUGAGGAAAAUAGCAAUCUAGGGCCGAUACCGAAAAUUGUGCAACUGCGAGACCAGCUGAGGGUACCAAUUGGUAGGUCUUGACGCAACGAAGCCCGUGCUCGCUGUCCGGAGCACGAACAAUAGCCGAGGAGUGCGCCGGGGCUACGUGAACUGACUAAGAAGUCCACCGGGAGUGACACUGUCAAAACUAGCAAUUGAGGCCCCGCGAGGUGAGCAUGGAGGUCCACGACACCUCUAGAAAUCCGUGCUCACCUCAAGGUCUCCGGCCACCAGGAGAGCUGGAAUAGUAGAGCUCGGCCAAGAAUUCUAAAGCCCCGAGACCGAGCUGGAGCAACCACUUCCGACGAGGCGCUCCGGUGGCACAGGGACCCGCGCCGCCGACAGGGUUUGGGCGCGGCGGCCAAGGGACCACGAUGCUCAAGGCAACCGACGGCGGCGACAGAAAGCGGCGGCGGCGGUUCUGCAACACCGGCCGGAAACAAAAUCCCAAAGUUCUAGGGUUUCCUAUUCUGGCUGUGGCGGCGGCUAGGGAGGGUCGAGGUCAGUGCCGGAGGUCCACAAGAGCCCUCCACGAUAGGCGGCGGCUAUGACGACGACGAGGACGCAACAUUGGCCGCGUUCUUGCAACUCCGGCCAACACUUCAAGAAUCGGCUCAAGAAGCUUCCGUUGGCCACGGCGACGCACAACGGCGCCGGGGAAGGUUGGGGUGGUGUCGCUUGGGCCCUAGGGUGGCAGCGCUCGCGGGCUGGAGCGCUUGGGGCCACCACAGCAGGAGCUCCACCAAAACAGGUUGAGGGAUGGAGAGAAAUGAGUUGAGGAAAAUGGAGAGGAAAUUGGGCCGGAACAGGAUAGCCAGACGGUUGUCGCCGAUGGCCAGGGUGGGUUGCUGCGUGAGAGAAGAGAGGGGACGCGGCUAGGGCUCGGGUGAAGAAGAGAGGGAGUUAGGAUUAGGGUUAGAGAAGUAGAAACCCUAGGUUGCAUAUAUGUAGUGGAGGGACAAAUUGCUAAUAAGUCCUCCAAAUGUCAGAAUUUCAAACCGAAUCCCUCGCAGCGCGUGUAAAACGCGCUAAGGCACCUCCAUGUGCGAUUCACACAAAUCGAUACAUAAAAUAAUAGGUAUUUUCUAAAAAUACCAAUUUCCCAACAUCGACCUCCUCGAACAACUUGCAAUUUCGGACGAUCAAUUCGUCGGAUUUGCGAACGGAUUGCAUCGCAACCUUCGACAUUGCCGAACUAUCAGAUCUGCGAUUUUGUUUCGCCUAAAUCAAUUGCCAAUUCACGAUGAAUCCAUCCCCUCUCCGUCUCCAUAUAUAUAUAUAUAUAAUAUAUAUAUAUAUAUAUAUAUAUAUAUAUAUAUAUAUAUAUAUAUAUAUAUAUCUCGAUCUGACCUUAUGAUAACUAUCGUUUUCUAGGAAAAACGAUAGUUCAAAAAUUAGGAAUCUACUAUUUAACAUCCUAAUCCUACUAUAAUUAGGAAUCCCAACUCACCAGGGGGAUCCCAACUCACUAGGGGUGACCCAAUAUUAUAAAUUAGGUUACCACUCUUUACUACUUUUGUUAACUAGGUUUCCAAUUUUUGAACUAUCGUUUUUUCCGAAAAACGAUAGUUAUCGUAAGAUCGGGUUGAGAGAGAGAGAGAGAGAGAGAGAGAGAGAGAGAUACUANCAAAUUUAAAAAGAAAUUAAAAUUUAAAAUUUGAAUCUCAAUUCAAAAGUUUCGGAUAUUACACCCUAACUGGAGAAUUCGGACUCCGGAGAGAGGAUCCGGAUCCUUCGCACUUUGAAGGUGCAGUUCGAGGGGGUUUUGUGCAAAUGUUACAACACCCUUUUAAAAGGGGACCCCAGCCCCUUCUCUCCCGCAUGAACACACAUAUUCCUCACUCUUUCUCACUCUUCUCCCUCUCUCUCUAGAAAUCUCUCCAAUACUUGAAGAUUUGGGGAACUUGAUCUCGGCGGAGCUUCUUGGAGUGGAGGACAAGUUUCUUGGAGCAAGAAGAAGCUUGGGGAGCUUGAGGUAAAGGUGAGUUUGUAGGGUUUUGACUUAGGAUUUUGGAUUUAUCCCUUAGAUUUGGAAUUUUAUCAAACCUUGGACAAAUUUAGGCUAUAAAUGGUAGAGAUUUGCCAUGAGAUUUAGAUUUUUCCAUAGCUUUUGAAAAAUCCUAGAUUAAAUUGGGAUUUUUGGAUUUUGAAGGUUAAAAAUAUUUGGACCCUUUAGAACUCUAAUUGAAGGUUAGAGGAACGCGUGGAACAAAUUCAUUUCGAGGAAUGAAAGGAUCCCGGAGGUCGAUUUGAAGUAACGAGCUAAUUUUGGGUGUUUUUGGGCGAAAAAGUUCGGAGCAGAGCAAAUAGCCUACAGAAACCUAAUUGCAAAGUGUCUACGAGUAAUUGGGAGUGUAUUGAGGUGGGUUGUGCUUCACUAAAGUGAUUUAGUUACUUUCAGCUCUAGAGAGUAAAUAAUUAAAUAAAGUUAUGCAUGAUAAAUGGUAGUUUAAUUAGUAAAUAUGCAUGCAUGAGACAUAUGUUACUUAGUAUAAUUUACCACCAAUGUAAAAGUAAAUGCAUAUGUUGUCAUCUUGCACACCUAUGUUAUGGACUAGACGUAGAUUGAUAUUUCUUUAGGGACAUUAGAGAACUCAACAUGUGAAUACAAAGAACCUAGUAUAAUUGAACAUAGGUUGGAAAACAUAGUGAGUAGGAUACCACUCGAACAAGAUGACUUGGAAUUGACAAUGUAGGGUGAAAACAAUGGACCCUCAAGACCAUGAAAGGGAAAAUUCCAAAAUUUCGAAACCUACGGAUGGGCGUGCGUGGAAUGCCACUUAAUACCAAGGUGUGACAUGCUACCUGCAAACCCAUGGGCGGCGGUGUGUGGAAUGCCACCUAAUGCCGGAGUGAAGGUACGAGAGAUGAAGUUGCUAUCUACAAUCCUAUGGUCCGAGUUGCGUGGGAUGCCACCUAAUGCCAAGGUAAGGGGGCGACUUCACUAGCUAUGGACUCAUAGCCAGAGGUGGGCGAUAGUUUUGCCACCUAAUGCCAAGAUGAAAGCGGCGCUUCCGCUAUGAAUUGACCCACGCCCUGGGUCGGGUGACAUGUGGAUAGGAUAAUAAAAUAGUAAGUAAAAGUGAGAAUAACUUACUCGUUGAAUUCCAUUAUCUCAUGCCUCCUUUGAACCUAGUGGGUCGAGCUCUUUCCUGGAUGGCCGUACCUACUGAAAACUAUGUUUAUAGUUCUUACCACCAUAUUUUUCAAGUUCAUUUGCAGACGACAUGGCGGAGCGAGGAAAUGGCGUAGCACCAUAGAUAGCGGCCCUUCCAUAUUUGAGGUUUGUACCCUCUUUUGGAAAAUGUAAUGAAAGAGAAAGGAAAAGAAAAUUUUGUAAUGAAGUAUUUUGGAUUGUAUUCCGGAAAGACAAUGUAUGUAAUUGAAUGAAUUAGCGGAACCAUGUAAUAGAAAGUAGUUGUUUUAUGUUUAUAUGAUAUUCUCCUUGUACAAUCCAUGUAUACAGUUCCUGUUUGGAAUGUGUUGUAUAUAAAGGUUGUCACGUCUUGGGCGGAUAGGAGUAACUCUGUUUAUUCGGUGGGUCUAUGCGCGUGCCCAAUGAGUGCUUCCAUUGCGGUCUCGGGGGGUGACAUGGGUUGUCUUGAUUUAGUAGCUUUGUUUUGUUAUUCCUUUUCUCCUUCUUCCCCUUCUUUUCUUUCUUCUCUUUUUAUUGUAGCUAGCAGGUCCAAUGUUUAAUCUACUUAGGGAUGUCAAUAGGUAUGGAUAUCCAAAAUUUUAUCCGAACCCGAACCCGAAUGAAACGGAUAUAUCUGAUGCUAAAUGGAUAUGGAUUCGGAUAUGGAUAUCAAAAAUAGAAACCCGAUGGAUAUAGAUUCGUAUAUGGAUUUUGACUGUACCCGACGCGAACCCGAACCCGACCCGAACCCGAAUUUAUUUGUAUUAUAUAUAUAUAUAUAUAUAUAUAUAUAUAUAUAUAUUUGAAUGUAUAUUUGAAUUUGUAUUUAAAAAUUUAGAUUUAAUAAAAUAUAUUUUGAAAUAUUGAAAAAAGAAAUAAUUGUUUCGGGUUCAAAUUUUCGGGUUCGGGUUUGGGUUCGGGUUUCGGAUUUUUGGUCGGGUUCGGGUUUGGAUAUGGAUUUUUAAAAUCCGUCGGGUUCGGGUUUGAGUUCGGGUCUCGGGUUUGGGGUAGGGUUCGGGUUCGGGUUUUUGAAAAUCCGCCCCGAAUCCGACCCGUUGACAUCUCUAAAUCUACUACUGUAGUUGGUCAUUGUAGCCUAGCUUUUGCAGUGCAUGUGAUGCUACCUGUGCUCUCUCUUUUCCUAGUGACAUAGUUUAGGAAUUCCCUAAAAGGCUAAAACCAUUCAAAAUAAAUUAACUUUUAAUCUUUGAUGGGAUCUUUGCAAUUGUCUUCUUCUCUAUGCUGCUACCUCUAGCAUAGCAGCAUAAGACGGAGUCUUUACAUGGUUUUUUUCUCUUCUAGGUUUUCUUGCUAUUUGUUUUUUACUUGCAUAACUAUUGAUGUAAUGUUACCUAAUUAAGCUCAGUAUAUAGAAGUGUCUAGAUAUAUUUGGGUUCUGUGUUUUCUUCAUUUGUUAUGUUUCAUAGCUCAUAUUAUGGUUUUAUAACUAGAUUCUUUUGUUUUUGUUACCAGGUGCAUCUCCAUCUCCAUCGCCCUCAGAACGAUUCUUGGUAGUGAUUUCAUCUAAACAACAAAAUAUGGAAACCUCAAACUCAUUUUUACUCCUUAUCAUCCUUAUAAUUCUUGUUAUCAUCCUACUUGUAAUGGCUGUCUUUUGGAAGUGUAUCAAAGUCGAGACAUUCUUUAAAACAGUAAAAACUACAGGAACCCUUUCAGGUAAACCUCAUUACCUUCAGAUGACAUUUACCUAUUAAAUAUACGAUAUAUGUGAUAUUACUUAUACUGCAAUGUGUUUUGUGCUAUCAGUCCCUGAUUACUUCAGCGGUAAUCUUCGAACAAUAAGCCACUUCAGCUACAAAACCUUAAAGAAAGCCACCAGAGAUUUCCAUCCAAAAUACCAGCUCGGAAUAGGAGGUUUUGGCACAGUCUAUCGGGUAUUUGAUGCUAAGAAUAAACAGACUAGAGAAUAACUAACUACAUUUUUUUUUUCAUUUUUCUUCACUGACUAAUUGCAUAUAUCCUUGCAAAUAUGUGAAAUUGUUCAAAUAGCUCACCAAAGUUGGAUUUUGCUUGCGCAGCCCUGUGACCUAACUUAUAUGCUUGCCCACCCUGCCAAGGCAUCUGACUGAAUAACCACUGCAUUAAUACUCCUAGUUUAUGCAUGUUGUAUACCCUUGAUGGCACACACGUGCAAGUGAAUCAGUAUGCGCAAACACCAGCUUUGCAGGGGCACUGGCACAAUUUUAUAUAUUUACUGUAAUAUGUUUGCAAUAAAUCAUUUUUAGAUUGUUGCAAUCUCGUCGGUUCUUAAUAUAAUUUUUAACAGGGAGUACUAGAUGAUGGGAGGACGAUUGCGGUGAAACAAUUGUCAGUUGGAACUUCUAAGCAAGGAGAGAAUGAAUUUCUUGCUGAGGUUAAGAUGAUAACAAGCAUCCAGCACAAAAAUCUUGUUAGGCUUGUGGGCUGCUGUUCGGAGGGGGCGCAACGACUCCUUAUCUACGAGUACAUGCAAAAUGGAAGCUUGGAUAAUAAUCUAUUUGGUUUGUUUCUCAAGAAUUAAUUAUUUAAAAGUUAAUUUCAACUCUAUUUUGCAUGUUUAAUUGUUUAAUUGUUUAUCAGUUUACUUCAAUUCUAUUUUUUCUUGUCGGGUUAUAGUUCAAAUGUAUCCCUUGCAAUUUGACUUGAAUUUCAAUUUCAUUGUAAGAUUUUCAAUUGUGACAGUUUUACAUUUAUUUCAAUUCAUCCUCGAAGUUUCAAUUUUGAUUUUAAUAAAGGAAAGCCUGGAGAUAGUGACAUGGAACCUUUUCGGAUAGCAGACUACAGGAAGGACUUAAUGAUAUGCAAAAUAAAUUUCGAGGACAAAAUUGUUACACUUGGAACUAUGGGCAUGAGCAUUGAAAUCAAUGUCAAAUUUCAGGGCUGAUGCAUAGUCAAACAUUCUUUGUUCAAUGUCCAGAUUCUUUCUUCUUUUCUUUUCUUUUCUUUUUUUUUUUCAAACCCAUAUGCAUAGGAAAAUAUUGACUCCAAAAAUUUAUGUUUUAUGAACAUGGCUAAACAGAAAACGGUGAAUCGUUUUUGAAUUGGAAGACAAGGUUCCAGAUCAUUCUUGGUGUAGCAAGGGGUUUACGAUAUCUGCAUGAGGACUCAAAUUUAAGGAUUGUUCAUAGAGAUAUCAAGGCCAGCAACAUCCUUCUUGAUGAUAAAUUUCAACCCAAGAUAAGCGAUUUUGGUUUGGCUAGGUUUUUCCCUGAAGACCAAGCAUAUCUCAGCACCAAAUUUGCAGGAACUCUGUAAGUUGUUGAUUGAUUAUUUGUUAAUGGACUAACUCAUAGUUUAACAGAUUUGACAAUCCCUGAGAGCGGGCAAUUAUAUGACAUCAGAUCUAUCGCUUUUAUUAAUAAUAUAGCGUGACUAACAUAUCUAUAUGUAUAGUUGUAUACUAACUAUAAGUAUAACUAAUUUUAAAUACUGUAAUGAAUUAUGCAUCAAUUUCAACUUUUACCUAGAUUGAAUCUGUUUUGGACACAUGUUGACUAAUUAGAUAUUAUAACUAGAUACUUUUGGUAUCACCGAAUGCAAGUACCUCAGAAAAUAAAUACCUUUUAUCAAUAAUAGUUUAGAAGCAUAACAUAAUCAUUAUCGAACUAGGUCCUAUGUUCUUCACAAAAGGUUGGCCUUUACCGUAAUAACAGUUAAUACGUAUGUCAAGUGGAUUAUUUAUGAUUAGUUUCUGGUAGUUUGCUGAUAUGAAUUCUAAUCACAUGGCAGAGGCUAUACUGCACCUGAAUAUGCUAUAAGAGGAGAGCUUUCUGAGAAGGCCGACAUUUACAGCUUUGGUGUUCUUGUGCUUGAGAUCAUUAGCAGCAGGAAGAACACAGACCUUACACUACCUACUGAGAUGCAGUAUCUUCCAGAAUAUGUAUGUUGUUCACUUUAUCUAAUCCUGCCUCAACUGCAGAGUAGUCAAUCACAAAAAAGAUGGCCGAUAAAUAUGAUAAAUAAAAGCCUGAUCUUAGUUCCUAUAUCUCUAUUCAUUAGUGCUUUUGCACGUAUCACCCUGAACAUGUCCGAAAUUGCUCAAAUACUCUUGAAAAGCUUGGAAUUUACAUGGGUGCCCCUGAAAGGAGCUUUUAUGUUCUUUCAUGCCCUCGUCAUAGCUCGUAAGUAUGUAUGUAAAAAUUGUUUUGCCUAGAAAUUCCCAAAGGGGCAUACACAACUGAGGUUUUUUGAGGCACAAGCGGACACCAACUUGUAGGGGUAUUUGCUCAUUUCGCAUAUUUGGAGGGAUAUGUAUACAAAAAAAAAAAAAAAAACCCUUUUCUUUUCCUCUUGUAGGCAUGGAAGCUUUAUGAGAGAUCGAAGAUCAUCGAGUUGGUCGAUCCAAAACUGAAAGUUGAUGGGACAGUGGAGAGAGAUGUGUUACUAGUAUGUGACGUGGCAUUGCUGUGCCUCCAGCCAUACCCGAGCUUACGGCCUCCGAUGUCUGAAAUAGUCGUGAUGUUAGCAUGCAAAACAGAACCACCUCCUGCUCCUAUGAAGCCGGCAUUUCUUGAUCGCAAGAAUAGAUUUUCGACUGAAAGCACAUUUCUAGUACCGUCCCCUUCACCAUUUCGUAUCGACUCGCCCUCCUCCCACAUUGAGAAAUAGUACCUGUCUAUGCCAUUAUGAUGACAGGCUCUAUAAGACUUGCUGAGAGAGGAGGGCCACUGCAGUAUAUCUAUAUAUGACAGCAAGAUUUUUUUUUUACCAGAUUGACUACUGCCGUGCCAACAAUAUGUUGUUUGCUGCCUAUAUGUAUGGAUAAAAAAAUGUAUAAGUUAAAUUGUCAUUCACAAGGCACCACCGCUGCAAUGUGAGAGUGUAAAUUCAUGGAGCAAGAUAUUGUUACAGUAUCUGCUAUUUGAAUUAGAGGGGUAUGACAGUAUGUAGGAGUCAAGAAAUCCAGAGACUUUAUAUAUCGCUCUUGUGGUGUUGGGUCAUCUGACUCCAAUUAGUUGUAAGUCGUUAGAUUUCAUAUGGUUCAUUUUAUAUUUUAUAUUUUUUACAUAUUAAAGUCCAAAUAAAGAAGAGCUCUAUCUCUUUUUGCGGCACAUUGUAAUUAAUUUCAUUUAGUCUUUUUGUCACAACAAGUUUAAUUCUUCUAGCUUCAUGUCGUUGAAUCCUUAUGUUAAGUCGCAAAAUUUCGUAUGUUUAGUCAGUUACAUUUCAUAUAUGUUUGUGUAUUACAUAUAAAAGGGUUAACCUUCCUAAGCUCGAGAUAAUAUGAUAUAGGAAGAAGACAUGAUGCUUAUACUUUAGUCCUUGCAACCAGUAUUUUACAAGCACCCAGGCUACAUUACUCCAUGACAAGAAAACAAUAUGUGAUGCCCUAAGCAUCCCACAUUGGAUGGGCAAGAAGUUGUGAAUGAGAAUACAAGUACCAAGGACUAACAAUAAUUAGGCUAGAGCAUUUUGGGCUGGUGAUUUGGAUGCAAUUAGUUAUUAGUGCUAGUAAAUUAGAUCGUGCUUAUCAUCGGUCACAAUUUGUACAAUGUACUUCUCUACGACUUCAUCAAUGACCUUCUUGGCUUCUUUAUGUGUCUUUGUGUGAAGUUGGCAUCACAAAUCUUAUCUAUCUAGUGCAUGAAAUGAUUUAUGAAUUACCAUCUUUUUGUUGUAGUACACAAUUGUGACCCCCCAUAAAGCUCCCCUAUUUCUUGUUUCUUGAAUCUUGAAUCUUGCCGCAUAACUAGAGGGACCAAACUGAGCCCUAUGCUGUUGCACAUCCUCCCACUGUUGCUACCCAUAGAGGUACUUAAGGGUGGAAACCAGCCGAGCUUGAGCGAGCAUACCUCAGCUCCAGCUUGGCUUGAAAUUAAUUUCAAGCCUAAAUUUAGGCUUAAGCUCGGUUUGAAAUUAAUUCGAGCCGAGCUCGAACGAACCUAAUUUCGAGUUGAGUGAGCUCGAGCCCUAAAUGAGCCGCUUGAAAUUCUUAACACCGUACAAUCUAUAGUUUAAUUUUUAUAGAACAUUAUCUAAAAUUUGAUAUAAAAAAUGUCUAAUAGUUCAACAUACAAAAUGAAUGAAUGAAAUACGAUGUUAUAUUAUUAAAAAAUAAUUAGGGGAAGCGAUUAAAAAGAAAUUAGGAAAAGCAACUCUACGAGCAAGUGAAAAAGAGAGAGCAAUUAGAGUAAAAUUUUGCUAGUUUGGUUUCGUGGGCCAAAUAAACUAAACUUUAUAUACAUAUAAUUAAAAUAAAUAAUAUAUAUUGCUAUAUAUAAUUAAAAUAUUAUAUAUAGAGCAGGACUGCUGUCCUCUCAGGAGCACGGAGGCCUCCGUGCUCCCAAGCCAUUUUCGAUGAUAGAAUUUUCGAAUCGACGAUCGACUCCAUUAGACUUGAUCUAGCAUAUUUGAAGUUUCUAGAAAAUUUUUGCGAUUUUUUGAUAUCAUUUACCUAGUGAUCGAAAGAGUUCAAAAUUAAUAAUUUUUAAUGGUUGAUAUAUGCCGUUUUCAAGUUUAACGGUGUAGAAGUAUUCAAAUCAGAUAAAAUUUUGAUACAAAAUUCUUUAUACUAUCUACAACAAGAUCAAUAUUUCUGAUCAAAAAUUUUAGUGCUAUAUCACGACGUUUUAUAGGAUUUUUAUUUUCAGCCGUUAAAAAUUAUUGAUUUUGAAUCCUUUUGAUUGGUAGAUAAAUGAUAUCGAAAAAUCGCAAAAAUUAUUUUCUAGAAACUUCAAAUACGCUAGAUCAAGUCUAACGGAGCCGAUCGCCGAUUCGAAAAUUCCAUCAUCGAAAACGGCUCCAGGCCUCCGUGCUCCUGAGAGCACAGCAGUCCUGCUCUAUAUAUAUAUAUAUAUUGAGAGAGAGAGAGAGAGAGAGAGAGAGAGAGAGAGAGAGAGAGAUUUGAGCUAGAAUACUAUCGAUAGCAAACGGGUUCCGAUGCCACCCAUUUGUUUUCGAUGAUGGAGCCUCCAAAUCGACGAUCGGCACCGUUAAACAUGAUCUAUACCACUUGAAGUAUUUAGAAAUCAAAUUUCGUACAUUUUCAAUAUUGUUCUCUUAUCCAUCGAGUGGACACAAAAUAAACGGCUGAAAAUGAAUAUUCUUUAAAAAAUAAUGAUAGGAGUCUUGUAAUCAAGAUCAAAAGUAUAGAUCUUGUUUUAAAUAGUUUAAAGAAUUUUCUAACAAAAAUUCAAUUGAUUUGGAUAUCUUUACGCCGUUAAACAAGAAAACGUCUCAUAUCGACCAUUAAAAUUACAAAUUUUGUAUCUGACCCUUGUUUUGAUUUCAGGUAGCCAUGUAUCGACGCCGAGGUCGACCGUUGACGCAGGACCGCUCCGCACCAGCUGAGAUGCCUGAGCAGGCAGGGCUGAGUGCACCCCCUGAUCUGAGAGAGCAGUUGGCUGCCCUGACUGAGGCGACGAGGCAGCAGGGGACAUUGUUAUAGAGGAUGUGUGAGACAUUUACUUCGCCGGAGAGCACAGCGCCUAGAGCACCAAAGCAGUCAGCACCACCACCGACUAUUCCCGUAGCCGCACCAGCUGCAGCUGUACCCCCACCCGUGACAGUUCCUACGGCGCCUGUUUCAUUUUCUUGAAAGGCGUCGCAGAUGUCUGAGGUUGAGCAGGAGCGGAUGACUAAGAGGCUUGCUCGUUUUCAUCGGUUCGAUCUGCCGUGCUUCGACGGCAGUUGUACAGAGCCCUGGAUUGUAGAGGGCUGGGUGAGUGCGAUGGAGAAGUUAUUCGAGGACUUAUUUAUACCGGAGCGAGAGCAGGUACAUCUGGGAGUGCAUUGUUUGGUUGGCGAUGCGCAUUCUUGGUGGAGGAGGAUGAGGGAUACUCGACGGUUGGUGGCGUUGCAGAUGAAGUGGGAUGAGUUCUACGGAAUGCUGUACGAGGCAUACUUCCCAAACAGCGUCAAGCAAAAACUCGAAGAGGACCUGAAGAAACUAUAGUAGGGGGAGCGAUCAGUUCAGGAGUAUACCCGUGAGUUUAUGCGACUUUUGAACUGUGUGCCAUUUGUAGCCAAGGAUGAGACCCACAAGGUAUAUCUGUAUGAGGGGGGCUUGAGGCCAGAGAUCUUUCGGUUGGUACAGGCGCAGAGGUUGAGGACCUUGGAUGCGUCUAUUGAGCAGGCAUUGUAGGUGGAGAGAGGAGAUGUGUCGAUUCGUGAGCAGGCCCAGGUGCCAGGGCAGAGUUAGGACAGGAAGCGCCCGGUUCCAGAUGAUGGAGGACAGUCGAGCAGCAGGCAUCCGCCGAGGCCUCCACGAUCACGCUAUCAGGGUCGUGGGACUUCGGGGCAACCGCGAUCUGAGGGAUCCCGUCAGCAAUAUAGGAUUCCACGGUGCAUCAUUUGUAGGGGACCACACUGGCCCCGAUAGUGCGAGCAGAGAGGGCCGGUGUGGGAGCUAGGGCACAGCUGAUGACAGCUCGGCGACGAGUGCGCCAGCUGCAGGCGAGCUGUAAGGAAGUGAAUUCUCGAAAUACGAGAAUUAGACUUCAUACGAAAUCGACCAAGGGUCGUGUUGGUGUGCUUUGGAAAAGCCAAAGAUGUCAAAAUCACCAAAAAUGCAUUAGAAACGAGUCCACGAGAGCAUUUAGUGCAAAACCUGCACUGGAGCAAGAUUGCUCUCGGGGACCGAUCCCUGGUAAGGAGGAACCGGUCCCAUCGGCUCGGGGAUUCUUAAGGCAACUAGUCCCUGGUAGGGAGGGACCGAUCCCCGAACGCGAACCCAGCGAGAAAAGCUAAAAUUUGGUUAAGUCCUGAAAGUCCCACUCUCAGGGACCGGUCUCUCAGGCAAGGACCGGUCUCUUGGGGACCGAUCUCUUAGGGAAGGAUCGGUUCCCGAACGCGUGACCCGAGCUGAGGCUCUCGGGGACCGGUCCCAAGUCGGGGAGACCGGUCCCUCUGGGCGCAGAAUGCCUAGUGAAGGCUGUGCACAGAGAUGAAAGUUGAGGGGUUUGGUUGGAUAUUGUUAUAUUAGAGGGGUAUGUAGGCCCCUUCUCUCUCUCCAACCCUCAUUUCACUCCCUCUCUUUCACUCUCUUUCUCCCUUUCUCUCUCUAGAAAGAAAAGAGAAGGAAGGAGAAGAAGAAGAAAAGAGAAGAAGAAGAAGGAGGAGAAGAAGAAGAAGAAGGAGGAGAUGAAGCUCAAGGAGGCUUGGAGCAUCUUCCUCUUCCUCUCCUCACCAUUGGAGUAGCUCAAGAGGUAAGCUCUUGAAUCCUAACUUAUGGAACUUAGAGUUUUUGGGUUUUGAGCCUUGAAAUUGGGGUCCAAUGGACCCCUAGGACCAUUGUUGAUGAAUUAAAGCUAGAGUUAGGGUUCCAAAAUGCAAAUGGCAAAAUGUGAACCCUAGAGCUCCAAUAUAAGUUUUUUGGUAAAGUAUGAGAUUGAUCUCAUUUGAGGCCUUGUAAACCUAAUUGCUAGGUGCCUAAACACGGGGGCGAAGUCGGAUUUUGCAUUCGUCAAGCGGGUGAAAAGCUAUUGGCAAAACAAGACCGACCAAGCUUCAUUUGGACCAAGAGGGCUAAAGCCUCGUCGUAAAGUCCGUUGGAGGGCGUUUCUAGAGCCUCCAUACCCUCAAGAGGUGGGGGGUGUCAUCCCGAAGCAUCCGGAUUUCUCUUUAUGUCUAAGUUAAUUUUAUUCAUCAUAUGUUGAUUGUGCAUUAUAGGAUUAGUAGAAGCAUAUUUCCAUUCCUUGCAUGCUUACUUAGUAGUGUAGCAGUAUGGGCUCAACACUUGGACUAGGGAGGCAUGAGGAUUGGGUCUUGAGACAAAGAAUCCUAUAGUGGCAAAAGUGAUGAACUUGGAUAUAGCCUAGUUGUAAUAUACCGAAAAUUCGGAAAAUAAAUAUCAAACUUUAGUCAAAUUGACCAAAGUGCGAGGAUGGUACGCUUCGGAAAGUCCGAAGGUGUUAAAAUGAGUAAAAGAGUGUUGCGGAAGGUUUUCGAGAGCUAAGAAUCAAAAUUCUGCAAACUGCAGAUUUUGAGCUCUCGGGGACCGGUCCCUGGUGGGAGAGACCGGUCCCCGAACGCGUGAGAAAUGAGACGGCCGAAAAAUCGGCUAAGUCCCUGAGAAACAGCUCUCGGGAACCGAUCCCUCCCCGAGAGACCGGUCCCCCAGAGACCGGUCCCCUAGAGAGAGACCGGUCACAUUGCGCGCAGCAGCUCUAGCUGCACUGGGAGAGCUCUCGGGGACCGGUCCCUAGUCGGGGAGACCGGUCCCCAAACCCGAAAUCUGCCCAGUCCAGGCAGUUGAAUAAGAUGAAAGUUGAGGGGUUUAUUUGCAUUUUGGCAACCCAUUGAGUAUAGUAAGGGGGGAAAAUGAGAUAUUUCUCUCAUUUCACUCCCUCUCCCACUCUCAUCUCUCUUUCUCUCUCUAGAAGACAAAGAAGGAGAAGAAGAAGAGAAGGAAAAAGAAAGGAAAAGAAGAAAAAGAAAGUGGAGAAGAAGAAGAAGGAGUGAAGAAACUCCCUCUCCUUCAUCUCUAGCUUGAAGAGGGGGGAAGCUUUGAGGUAAGCUUCAACCCUAAUCAUGCUAAAACCCUAAAAUGGGAACUAUGUGACCUAGAAAUGGUUUUAAUGAAGUCUUUUGAGUCUUUGAAGCUUUUCUUUUGCUUCAUUUGAGAUCAAGACCAUGGGUUUAGUGUUGGAGGUGAAGCUUGAAGGAGAGCUUCAUCCCCUCUCAUUGUAGAAUCCAAACUAGGGUUUGGAUUGAAUUAAAGAUGGUUUAAAUGGACUCUUUAGAGUAGAAUGAAGCUACUUAUGCUUCCCAAUGAGAUCAAACCCUAGGUUUGAUGCAUGUAAUGAAGCUAGGGCACCCAAAUUGGGGCUUUUGCUCAUGGGGAUUCCUAAGUGAAAUUGACUCUCUAGAAACCUAAUUGGGGGUAUUUCCGACGCGUUGGUGCGCUCGGAUAAGCAUUACGAAAGGUCUAUAAAAAGUUAUGGGCAAAAUGGCCUAAUAGGGCUUCGUUUUGCCGCAGGUAAAGAGCGAAGGGUCUGAAAAUUCCAAGAAAGUCAUCGGAGCACCUUUGAAAGCCUACAAGGUGGGUCGUGCUUUUCAAACUCGUUGAACUUCCCUCUAUGCCUAAUGUGUCAUUCAAUUGAGCAUAUGUCUAUACAUUGUUGCAUGCAUUUUAGGGUAAAGUAAUGAUAAAAUGUGAUGUUGCAUGAUUGUGAGUACAACUUGCAUAAUGUGAUGGUUAAGAACCUUAUGAAUGUCAAAAACCCUAUAUAUGUAUGCAUGAGAGAAAAUGUGAGCACCAAAGUGAGGCGAAAGAACAAAGUGACACUAUAUGAUAUAGAUUGAGUGGCAUUGAUAAUGUAAAGUAAAGUGACACUAGAGAUAGUGUGAGGCAAAGAAUCAAUGUGAUGUAAAGAAUAAUGCUAAUGACUAAAGUGAAAACAAAGUGGGGCGUAAAGAACAAAGAAUGCUAAAGAUAGCCAAAAGUAAAGAAAGGCAAAGAAUAAUGAUUGCUAGAGUUAGCAAAAGUAAAGAAAGGCAAAGAAUAAUGAUUACUAGAGUAGUAAUAUAAAGUGAUGUAAAGGACACUAGAGUUAGUGUAAAGUCAAGAUUGAGCAUACAAUCCUUUGAGUUAAGGAUUCGAUCAUACUUGCUAUGAGUUCCGUGCUCGAGGGCGGUCGCUCCCCCUCGGGCGAUGCGCUCCGGAGUUUUUGCAUCACGGGUUGGAGUAAACCCGAAGGACGGUCUUAGCAGGAGGAAGCUGAGGGCCCGCGAUGAUGGACUUAAUGUGAAGCAAGUUAUUGUGGCAAAACCCCCGGGUUAGCCUUGAGAUUAAAGAACAAAGAACAAAGAGCAAAGAACAAAGAACAAAGAUAAAGUGUAAAGUGUAAAGAACGAAAGAACUUGCAUAAUCUGCAUAUGUUAAUGUUGAGCAUACUUCUUGCUUAUUUGUUCAGGCAUAUUAGCAUUAUGUUAUAGAUUGGUUACUAUAUCCAGCUUAUCCUUUCUAUUAUGCCUGAGUUAGUCCUAGUGGGAAAGUCGGUGAUAUUGAGGCCGAACCCACUGGGAACUUUGUUGUAGUUCUCACCCCACUAUUUCUACAGAGCCGGGACCGGGCGAGCCGGCGAACAACUGAGGUAAAGGUAUCGUGCCUUAGUCAGAGGCCACCAGAGUUGGGUUUACAUUUGUAGUAAAGUACCCUAUGAUCAUCUUUUAUACAUGAUGAUAAAUGAUGUAAAGAAAAGAAUGUAAUAUGUAUUUUGAGGUAAAUGUGAUGUAAGAAAGACAUGAUGAAAUGAUGUAAUGAAUGUAAGAAAUCGAUAAUGUACAAGUUGGAUGUAAUGUAUAUGAUCUAAAUUGAAUCAUAGUACAAUGAAUGCUAGUUUUCCUAUCUUUCACUCGUGGCUAUUGCUUACCCUCGUGUAAGCCGUAUUUGUAUGUUUCCGCUAGUGCACUUCAUUAUUUGAAAAUGUACAUGUGAUGAGCCUUGGGCGGACAGGGGAAACUCUGCCCGUUCGGCAUCUGUUUGACGUGCUCGGGCCGGCCCAAAUUGGUAUCGAUCCCGGGGCGUGACACUAGUAGAGGGGCAUUUAAUUAGUAUAGUAGAGACACUAAACUUGGACAUAGCCUAGUGAGUGGCAUUGACUAGUGUAGUAGAAACACUAAACUUGAACGAGUGGCAUGUCAACUAGUUAGAAGAUAAUACUACAACAACUGAACGAGUGGCAUCGAGUCUAGUGUAGUAAACAUGACAUGGUUCUUGGGACAGUAGAGGUCCCGGCAUCUAGGAUGCAUUGUAUAUUAUGCAGCAGAGGCACAUUGACCCUUGUAGACAGGGUAUCCUCUUGAGAGAAUUGGAUCAUACUCACUAGUCUGUUUUCGCUUGUCGGUGGUCGCUCCACCGAAGCACGAGUCUCCGGAUAUCUCACAGAGUUGUCCCGCAGACGGUCUCGGUGUGCGAGUGCAGCUUCUCCUCACCUAUAAGAUUGAGAGUGAGUCGAGGGCUUAACCUACGGGUUAGCCAAGUAGAUUGGGUGAUAAACAUGAAAUGCAUAGUAGAGUUGCAUUAUUACCUUGAGUAGACAUAGUGUAUGUUGUAGAUUGCAUUACUAUGUACUUUUCUAUACUCAUGACAUGAUACUAGCAUGAUAGUAGUUGUUGCAUGUAUCGUCAUCAUUGGUGGCAUGAUAGAGUAGUUGCAGUUUAUUUCUCUAUUUAUCUAUCUAUCUCUCUAUCUGUGCCAGCUUAGACCUAGUGGGAAAACUGGCGGAGUCGGCGGCCGAACCCACUGGGAACUAUAUUUAUAUAGUUCUCACCCCGUGUGGUUUUGGGGUACAGGUGCACACAGGAGCAGACCGAGCGAGGGCCGCUAUAAGGGCAUAGCGCCCUGAGCUUAGUUAGUAGCUUUUCCUUUAUGCAUUAGAGUACCCUCGUGUACUAGUAGAAGAUAUGUAUUUUGGACAGAUAUCGAAGAGCUACUUAUAUUUUGAGGAAAACAUAUGUUUACAUUUUAGAAGAUGAAAAUGUAAUGUAAUCAAAUGAUGUAAAAGUUGAAUGAUUCUAAUAGCUAGAUGUUUCUCUCUUUAUACACUUGUACCUUUCCUUGUGGUUCUUGCUCUUAGUUAUAUUGCACCUGUGUGCAUCGUAAUGGAUCAUGUAUGUUAUUUAAACAAUUCCUGGGCGCUUAAUUGUACUUGAUCAGAUUGUUUAGCCUUGGGCGGACAGGAGAGGUGCUGUCCGUUCGGCGUCCGUUCGCCGCACCCGAACCACGCCAAAUUGGUAAGGGUUUCGGGGCGGGGUCGCGACAAGGGCACGGCCACUAGCCGGCGGCGGGAGGCGGCGGCGGUGGUGGCGGUGCAACCCGAGUCCGCACUAGCUCAGAUCCGGCUCCUCUUCAAUCUCCAGCCACGACGAUGGUCGGAUAGGCCAGGGGAGGGGUGCGGGCCCCCUCUGGGACUGAGGGGAAAGGAUGUGGAUGGUGGCCGGCGGCUAGGGGUGCGGCGCUACUGAGCUCAGCCGCACCAGCCUGGGCUGGCCGCGGGUUGGCAGCAACGGCGCGGCGACGCUCGGGGCGGCUGCGGGCCGGCGGGGGAGGUCAUUGGGGCUCUGGGGUAGGAGGCAGGAGCGGCCUCAGGCGGCGGCGGGUCGAGAGAAGGGAGCUGAAGCUCCCUCGACCCGAGCUGCCACAACUCAGCCGCAGGGUGGCUGCAGCGCGGCGGUGGUGUCCGAGGGCGGCAGCGACCGACCAAGGGAGAUCGCCGGAGCUCAAGGGUGGUGCCAGAGAGGAGCUAGAUGGAGGGGUGUGCCCAACACCACCUUCGGCCAAAGAGAAUAGGAAGGGAAGUGGUGGAGAAGAAGAAAAUGAAGAAGAAAGUGGCUGAGGCUGUGGCUGCCGGCCGGGGCUCGGUCAACGAGGUGAGGAGGAAGAGGUGGCUGGGAGUCAGCUAGGGGCUAGGGUUAGGGUUUGCAUGGUGCAAAUCCCUAGAAGAUUAUAUAUACAAAACUNCCGGGAGGCGCGCGGCGCACGAGGUGAGGAGGAAGAGGUGGCUGGGAGUCAGCUAGGGGCUAGGGUUAGGGUUUGCAUGGUGCAAAUCCCUAGAAGAUUAUAUAUACAAAACUCCAAAUUGCGUAAAAGUCCUUCAAAACUCGAUAUUUAACACUGAGUCCCUCACAGCGCUAGUAAAACGCGCGAAUACACGCCCACAUUCAAAUUCACGCGAAACGGUACAUAAAAUGUAGGGCUUUUCGCAAAAUUACCGUUUUACCAUCUAAGACCCAUCCUCGAUCAACGUGCGAUAUCAGGAGAUCCGUCUAUCAGAUUUGCGAACAGAUCACACCAGUGCGAUUAGCACGAUAGACACAUCAAACCCACGAUUUUAUUUCGCUUGGUUUGGUUGCGGAUUCACGACAAAACUCAUCCUCUCUCCAAAUGGCAAAACUACACACAAAUACAUAAAAUAUAUGUGUUUCCAGUUUUCUCGAAAUCCGUGCGUCAAACCUAAAAUCCAUCAGCGGCAAUAGUUCCAGGAUAGUCGAACUAUUGAAAAUAAGCUAUUGGAUCACUAUGAAUAGAGUCCGAUACGCGCCAAAAGCCAUCUCUACACCGUGGCCUCUCCGAAAAACCUAGUUACUAUUCACUUUAAGUGAAAAGUAAAGUUCGCGUAAAAUCACCAUUCUAACUCGUUUUCCUCCGAAACUUGACAAGUGCUUUUAUAAUUAAAAUACAUACAAAAACAUCGUCAACAAAGAGUUUAGCUACACUGCCAAAAUCUCAGUUCUUACAUUCUUUUUCACCAUGGAAUCAGAAUCGAAAUGGGUAAAUUCGUUUGUGGGUGUUUGGUAUGCGGAAGUCUCAUUAUGAUUCCGAUUCCCGAGUGGAAUGGGAAUCCCCCAAUCACCUCUUUUCCCAAUCCGACCUAGGAGACCGGAUUGGAAGUUGAAUCCAGACGGAAUGGGUAUUUUUCAAAUUAAAUUUAUUUUUUCAACUUUUUAAAUUAAAAUAUAAGUUUAAAUUUAGUUAUUAAAUUUAUAAUUUUAAAUUUUAAUUUGAAUUUGAAUUAAAAAUUAAAAGUUAAUCAAGUAUUUUAAAUCUAACUUAUAAAUUCGAAUUUAAAUUAAAUUUUAAUUUAUAUAAAGUUUUAUUCAAAUUUUAUUUAAAACUUAAAUUAAAUUUAUGGAUUUAAAUUAAAAUUUAAAUUGUAAUUUUAAGUUUGAAUUUGAAUAAAUCGAAAUUUAGUUUUAUAUUUUGAAUUAUCCACUCAACUUCAAAGUUUUUUUUUUAAAAAAAAUAGAUUUAAAAUUUUGACAUUAUUUCAAAAGUUUGAUGUAAAUUUUUAAUAUUUAAUUUUCAAUUUGAAUUUAAAUUAAUUUAUUAUAAAGAUAAAGUUAGUAUAUUAAUUUGAUUACGUUUUUUAUAUCUACCUAAACCAAACACUGACAAUGGGAAUGAUUUAUUCUGAUUCUGAUUCAGAUAACGAACCAAACAGAAUUAGGUAAUGAGUCAUUCCGGAUUCCAGUUUAUUUCAAUUCCAAUUCUGAUUUCGAUUCCGAUCUCAAACCAAACGCGCCCAUAUAUAUAUAUAUAUAUAUAGAGAGAGAGAGAGAGAGAGAGAGAGAGAGAGAGAGAGAGAGAGAGAGACUAAGGCUACUAUACUCUUAUGAGUAUUAAUCCAUUUGCACUCAUAAAUUUUUCGCCGUUGGAUGAAGGGAUGUACGAUUAGGAUGAUAGUGAUCUCCGAUUAUGAUGAUAGUGGUUCCCUACGGUUGAGUGGGUAUUUGGUUGAAUAUUAUAAUCUAACGGAUAGAAAUGGUCAAAGGGGUAGAUCUAACGGCCAAAAACUUAUGAGUAUAAAAAGAUCUGUACUCAUAAGAGUAUAGUAGCCGAACUCUAUAUCUAUAUAUAUAUAUAUAUAUAUAUAUAUAUAGAGUUGAGCUAGAAUGCUAUCGAUAGCAAACGGACUCCGUUGCCACCCAUUUGUUUUCGAUGAUGGAGCCACCAAAUGGACGAUCGGCACCGUUGAACAUGAUCUAUACCACUUGAAGUGUUUAGAAAUCAAAUUUCAUACAUUUUUUAUAUUGUUUUCUUAUCCAUCGAGUGGACACAAAAAUGAACGGCUGAAAAUGAAUAUUCUUUAAAAAAUAAUGAUAGGAGUCUUGUAAUCAAGAUCAAGAGUAUAGAUCUUGUUUUAAAUAGUUUAAAGAAUUUUCUAACAAAAAUUCAAUUGAUUUGGAUAUCUUUACGCCGUUAAACGAGAAAACGUCUCAUAUCGACCAUUAAAAUUACAAAUUUUGAAACCCUUUGAUCAUUAGGCAAAUGAUGUCGAAAAGAUUUGAAAUUUGAUUUCUAAACACUUCAAGUGGUAUAGAUCAUGUUCAACGGUACCGAUUGUCGAUUUGGAGGCUCCAUCAUCGAAAACAAAUAGGUGGCAAAAUAGCCCGUUUGCUAUCGAUAGUAUUCUAGCUCAACUCUAUAUAUAUAUAUAUAUAUAUAUAUAUAGCAGGGCUGCUGCGCUCUUAGGAGCACGGAGGCCUCCGUGCUCCUGAGCCGUUUUCGAUGAUGGAAUUUUCGAAUCGACGAUCGGCUCCGUUAGACUUGAUCUAGGGUAUUUGAAGUUUCUAGAAAAUAAUUUUUGUGAUUUUUUGAUAUCAUUUACCUAGUAAUCGAAAGGAUUCAAAAUCAAUAAUUUUUAAUGGUUGAUAUGUGCCAUUUUGAAGUUUAACGGUGUAUUCAAAUCAGAUGAAAUUUUGAUACAAAAUUCUUUAUACUAUUUACAACAAGAUCAAUAUUUAUGAUCGAAAAUUUUAGUGCUGUAUCACCACUUUUUAUAGGAUUUUUAUUUCGAGCCGUUAAAAAUUAUUGAUUUUGAAUCCUUUCGUUUGCUAGAUAAAUGAUAUCGAAAAAUCACAAAAAUUAUUUUUUAGAAACUUCAAAUACGCUAGAUCAAGUCUAACGGAGCCGAUCGUCGAUUUGGGAGUCCUAUUAUCGAAAACGGCUCAGGAGCACGGAGGGCUCCGUGCUCCUGAGAGCACAGCAGCCCUGCUAUAUAUAUAUAUAUAUAUAUAUAUAUAUAUAUAUAUAGAAUACUAUCGAUAGCAAACGGGCUAUUUUGCCACCUAUUUGUUUUCGAUGAUGGAGCCUCCAAAUCGACAAUCGGUACCGUUGAACAUGAUCUAUACCACUUGAAGUGUUUAGAAAUCAAAUUUCAAAUCUUUUCGACAUCAUUUGCCUAAUGAUCAAAGGGUUUCAAAAUUUGUAAUUUUAAUGGUCGAUAUGAGACGUUUUCUCGUUUAACGGCGUAAAGAUAUCCAAAUCAAUUNAAAGUUUCCGAUUUUUCGAUUUACCCCUCUUAGAAGGCUAAUAUUGAAAAUACCCCUCCUACGUUCCAACCUAUUUCUAAUAUACCCUUAGAGUUAUAAUCUGUUAAAUAACACUGUUAUCUCUGUAAAAUUACUCUUUUACCCUUUUCAAAUAUACCCUUCCACCAUCAUUGUCUUUCUUAUUUGCCCUUAAAGUCAGGGGCACAAAAAGUAUUUCAACUUUUUAUCUUUUUCAAUAUACCCCUCUACCGUAACCAACCUUUCUUAUUUGCCCUUAAGAUAAGGGCAAAAUUGGCAUUUUAAUUUUUUUUAACUGUGAUAAAUAUUUAACUCACGUUUAACUCAGGUUAACUUAACAGGAGAUAACUACGGGGGUAUUUUGUAAUAACGGUGGAACAUAUGAGGGGCAUUUUAGAAAGAAAAAAAAAGUAGGGGUAGAUCGGAUAUUUUCAGACGCAUGAGGGGUAUAUAGGCAAUUAUCCCUAGAUUAUACUAUUCAACCAACCACCCACUCAACCCUAGGGGGCCCACAUCAUCCUAACAGCACAUCUCUUAAUCCAAUGGUCAAAAUUCUACAAGCACCAAUAACUUGAUAAUUUUAAAAGUAUAGGAGCUCAAUUAUCUAUAUAUAUAUAUAUAUAUAUAUAUAUUGUCACGCCCCGGGGUCCCUUUGAAGUUUUAAAAUCGAUGUGGAAGUGCCUUUUUUUCUUUUUUUUUGUUGAAAGCCUUGACCCCAGGGGAUGUCAGAUCCGCCACAAAUACAAGAAACCGACUGUUCACACGGACAGAGUCUCCCCUAUAUUUGCAUGGCGUCACAUAUGUACAAGAUACAACCACAGUACAUAAAUAAUCAUAUACAUUCACCACAUCACAUAAAUCGAUUCACAUUCGGUCAUUCGCAAGAAUACAAUAUUUAUUUAUAAAUCCACAUCUAUCAGUUUAAAACGUUUCCCACCCGGAAACUCAUUUUGAAAUACUAAAAAUCAUGAAAACCAAAAAAAUCUUUCUAAAACCGUUUUCCACGCCAAAACCUUUUCCUAUAAAAACAAGCUACCGCGAGGGGUAGAAACCAUUUUCAUAAUCUUACAUGAAAACCACAAGUACUUUAUUUAAUUUCACAAAACCUUAUAUAUAUCCAACUAAAAUAAAAGCAACUGAACCAUAGAAUAUCUAAGUAGUUAUUAUGAGGAAACAUAUUAGAAAUUAAAUCGUAAGUCACCGUCCGGCUCCCUUGUCUUAACUUGCGAAAAUCCUUCUUGAUUUUCCGCUUGUCACUCUCGGGAAAGUACUCCAUCAAUAGCAUCUCCCCAAACGCCUCCCAAGUAACGGAAAAGAGAUCCAAUGAGCGACUUUUCUUCACUUGUAUCCACCAUAGCCGCGCCAACCCCUAAAAGCAAUGGGCCGCCAAGUGGACCUUAUCCUUCUCGAGGGUGUAGAUGUCCUCGAACAACGCUUCCAUCGUGGCUAGCCAACUCUCCAUUACCCACGGAUACUUCACAUCGCCGUUGAAGGUCGGAGGGUUGAAUCUCUUGAAGGUUGUCAACACCGCCAAAGACCGCUCCUGCUCGGCCUCAAGUACAUCAGGAAUAAGAGUCGAUGAACCCAAUGCCGUCGAAGGAAUAACCGUCAUCGGUGCUGCCGCUGUCGCUGGAGGUGGUGCCGCAGGUGCAGGCGGAUCCUGAGGUACAGGUGCAGCCGCCGCCGCUUGACGCGCUACCAACUCGUGGAGCCGUCCAAUCUGCUCCCUCUGUUGCCACAUAGCCCCGACCAAAGCCGCUACUUAGGCCCGCAGCUCGCGUACUUCAUCCGACCCCGUCUGCUCGGGCACCUCAGGAGGCGGUGCCGGUGCAAAUCGCAUACUAGGGCGUCCUCUUGGUGCCAUCAUAUCCUAAAAUGUAGCACACAUAUUAGUACUCGACACACUUGACACUUACACGUUCCAAUUAACUACCCAAUUAAGCGAAAGCAAUCAACCGUAAUUGUUUCCAACUCUCGGCAUUAUGUGGUCGGCCGCCCCACACAAUCCUUUAAGUAGAAAACAAAUAAACACUUGAAUCCAUCUCUAAUUCCUUUUAGAGAAGUACCAAUGUCAACCCAAUCAAUUAGCUUUUGCAAUUACCAAGUCCACGUUAAACAUUUCCAAGGUCCUUAAGGUCUUCAAUCCUAAGGUCCCUAAGUCCAUUCUAAACUUUUGCUUUCACCACGCUCUGAUACCAUUAUAUCUGUCACGCCCCGUUCCCUGCCUAUUUGGUCGGAUUCGGGCCACGUCAACAGAUGCCGAACAGAUAGGACCUCCCCCGCCCGCCCAAGGCUCUAGUAACAAGUAUAAUUAAGAAAUCAAUCAAUGAGAAUUACAAUUAUACAAGACUUGCACGAGGGCAAGUAACAACAUGAAUGAAAGCUCUAAACUACAUCAUGCAACCACAUACAUAAUAUUUGAUUACAUUUUAACCAAAUACAAGUAAACUAAAACUAUUACAUUCGUUUCACUUUCAUUCAUAAUUUCUUUUACAUCGUAAUCAUUCAACCCCAAAAUACAUGAAUGUUUACAACUUUUACAUCUCUAGAGCAACAAAAUAAAAGUUAAUACAUUAACCAAAAAGGGAAUGACUAAAAUGCAAAUACUCCGGUGGCCACUAGCUAUGGCGCAAUACCCUUGCCUCGAUCCUCCGCCGCCCCGCUCGCGCUCGGAUCUGUAGGGUUAGUGGUGUGAGAACUACAACGAAGUUCCCAGUGAGUUCGGCAACCGACCUUGCUGACUUACCUACUAGGUCUAUUUAGGCAUAAGUAUUUCAAAGAAAGGAAACAGUAAUCAAUGCUAAUGCUAAUACUAUGCCUGCAAGAAAGCCGUCAGUAGAUAUAUAAUCAAAUGAGAAUGAUUAUGCAUGCAUGCUCUUUCCACAACUUUACCUUGGCUUUGACCCAAUCUUACCGGUUAACUUUGUUAACCCCAAUAACUCACAACCCAAGUUCCCUUAAUAACGGGGGACUCGAACCUCCCUAGGGACUGUCCUCUGGGGGGACUUUACCUCGCCCAGUGGUGACCAACUCCGGAGCGCACCGCUCGAGGGGGAGCUACCUCCCUCAAGCCAAGACUUAUCGUGAGUAUCGAUCAAAUCCUCAACUUGAGAACAUAUAGCCACUAGCCACAAUACCACUUUAUCAAUGAUAGGUCUCUAUCUUAUCAUAUUUGCCACUCUCUCGGCUACUCUUGCCAUAAUGUCACUGCUGUUUAAACUAGGUUUAGCAAUUUGUAUCUCAAUGCCAAUCUUGUCUCUAUUGUCAAUGUCACCUUUGUUUACUAUUAUCAUAGUCCCGGUCUCAUAUUCACACAAGUAUAGGGUUCCAACAUACAUGUCCUCUAUGGUUCAUAUCAAUCUCUAUGUUCAUCUAUGUUAGAAGCAUAUAAUUGAAGUCCAACCAAUAUUCACAUGUAAUCUACCCUAUCAUGUAUGAGUGACUAUUGACACAAUGCUCAAUGAAAAGGUGAUAUAGACAUAAAAGAAAAUCCAACGAUUCUGGAGUGCACCCCCCACCUCGAAUAGUAGUAGAGGAGUUGUGGUUCGAUUCUCGGGAUUUUUAGAAGCCUAUCCCGCGUGCUACGACGAUCUGUACCAAAUUUGAGCCAAAUUAGGCUUUUUACUAAGCACCAUUAUAUAGUCUUUUCGUUUGGCCGAACCGAGCGCACUAACGCGUCGGAAAUACCCCUAAUUAGGUUUCCACAAGGUCAAUUUACCUCGGAAACAAUCGAAGGCAAAAGCCUCAAAUUUGGUGCCUAACAAUGCCAUAUAUGGAAUUUUCCUAGAUUGAUCUUGGAACUAAGCAAAUACUAGCUUAGAAUAAUCUAGGAAGCUCUCUAAUACCAUUCCUAAGCCAUUUGAACCAUUCCCAGGGCAUCUACUAUGAACCCUAGAUGACCACCAUGAGAGCACAUGAAGCUUCCAUGGAUUUUUAUGGAGCUCAUGCCUCAAAAGGGUUUCUAAGCUUACAAGAAGUCCAAAACACUAACACUUAGGGUAAAAAUCCAAACCCUAGAAGUGUUCUUGCAAAAGAACUCACCUUAGCCCUAGCUCUUCUAAGUCCACCUUGAUGGAGAGCUUCUAAAGCCUUCAAAUCCACAAAAAUCCUCCUCCAAAACCUUCCAAGCCUUCUCCUCCUUGCUCUAGGGCAAGAUCUCUAGAGAGAGAAAGGGAGAAAUGAGAGGGAGAGAGGGUUCACAGCUGCUGUGAAGAGAGGAGAGUGUUGGGGUGUUUUAUAGGUUGCAACAAUAGCAACUAAGCCCCCCAAAAACUCUUAUUUGCAACAAACCUUAUUGUUGCUGUCAGACCAAAGUGUACCGGUACACUUCAUCCUGUCACCGGUAACACGAUCGUGCAGAGGCAAACCCGAGAGCAGCCUCUCUCGGGCACGCGACAUUUGUACCGGUACAAACCAACUUGUACCGGUACACUUUCAAUUUUCCCCAAACCCGAGAGCAAUUUCCUCUCGGGCAACACUGUUGUACCGGUACAACAUCAAUGUUGUACCGGUACACAUUGCCCAGAAUGCAAUUUUAGCUCUUGUUCGACUUCUCUUCUCGCCGAGCAAUGCUAAAACCCUUCUAACUCCUUUAAAACUCGCUUUUAAAUCUUCCAACGUUGUUGGAAUACCAAUUGGAACUUGUCCAACUUUUUCUCUUGGAUGCUUUAGUCAAUUUGGCUAAAGUCCAAUAUUCUCUACCGGGGUUUCGAUAUAUUACAGCUAGGGUUUUCUUCUAUGAAAACCCUAGUUAGCUCAUAUAUACAAAAAUGUAAUUUUGCAUAAAAGCCCUCCAAAGUUUGAUAUUUUCAGCGGAGUCCCUUGCAGCGCGUGUAUUUUGCGCAUACGCACCUUGACGUUCGAAAUCAUGCAAAAUGAUACAUAAAAUAUAGGGAGUUUUGCGAAUUUUUCGUUUUGCCAUUUUCGACCCCUUCUCGAUCUUCGCGCGAUAUCAGAAGAUCCGUCCGUCAGAUUUGCGAAUGGACUACGCCAGCGCGUUCAGCACGAUCAGGGCAUCAAAAUUAGUCUACUAUACUAUCUAUAGUACCGAAGCUCUGGUACUAUAAUCUCGUUUUCGAUCUUCCGAUCAUAAGAUAUUCAAAUCAAUGAUCCACACCCCUAAAUAUGAUCUAGGGUAUAUGAGUGCUUAGAAAUUAGUUUUUUUUUUUUUUACGUCGUUACUUAAUAACUAAAUCAUAUCAAAAUAAACGAUUGAAAUUGAUCAAUCUUUAAAAUUUGAGAAUAGAGCUUUUAAAUUCAAGAACAAGGAUAUUGAAUUUGAUCUAGAUAGUUUAAAAUAUUUUCUAUCAAAAUUUGAGUAAAUUUAUUUUCUUCUACAUCGUUAAACUACAAACUCGCCAUACUAGCCAUUGAAAAUUGACAAUUUUAAAAUAAUUUGAUCAUUAAGUGAACUAUGUUGAAAAAAUAUAAAAUUUUAUUUCAAAAAACUUCAAAUACCCUAGAUCAAUCUUAACGGUAUUGAUCGUUGAUUUGAAUAUUCUAAGGUUAAAAAUGAAACUAUAGUACCAGAGUCUCAGUAGUAUAGAUAGGGGGCCUAGCUCUAUCUCUAUAUAUAGAGAGUAUGACUACUAUUCUUUUAUGAGUAUUGAGCCAUUCGUGCUCAUAAGUUAUUUUUGCUGAUGGAGUUUAUAAAUUGAUGAUCCAUACUAUUAUAUAUGAUUUAGAGAGUUUGAAACUUCUAAAAAAUAAAUUUCAUAAUUUUAGAAAUUAUAAUAAAGUUCAUUAAGUAGGCAUAAAAUGAACGGUCAAAAUUGAAUGACUUCCUAAAAAUAAAGGAUUGGAUAUUUCAAUCUAAGAUCGGUGUUAUUGAACUUUAUCUAAAUAGCGAAUAUCCCAUACAGGUGUUUGUCAAUUUUGAGAUCUUUUGAUCGUAAACUAAAUGAUAUCGAAAAAUUAUAAAAUUUAAUUUCUAAAAGUUUCAAAUGAGUUAAACAAUGUUUAAUGGUAUGGAUUACAAUUCGGAAGCUCUAUCAUCGAAAACAACUUAUGAGUACAAAGGCGAUCGUACUCAUAAGAGUAUAGUAGCCGGAUUCUAUAUAUAUAUAUAAAGAGAGAAAAAGAGUGAGGAGUUAAAAUACUAUUGAUAGUAUGAGAAAUAGUGUUUACUAUCAACAAUUUGACCAUUGGAUGCCUAGCUUUUAGUGGGAGUUGGUGGAAUUAUGAGUGCCUCUUAUUAAAUAUUCUCUGCAUGGUGUAUAUGUAUACAUACAUUAUAUGCUUAAAAUCCCUUAAUAGAGAUUUUAAAAUUAAAUCAUUAACAUAAUUUAAAUUACUAGAUUGAGUAGAUUAGAUAUAUUUAACUUUUAAAAUUAAAAUAUUAAUCAUCCAAUAUAAGUUACGAUGUAUAAAAAAAUUAAUAGUUUUUUCUUUCUCCAAUUAAUUUUUUCCACAUAAAAACACCUUCUCCUAUUCCUUAAUUUGAAAUAAAUAUUCUAAUUUUAACAUUUUUAGUUAAAAAUUUAUUUAUAGAAUAGCUAUAAAAACUAUUAUGUUUAAUUGAAUUUUUUUAAUAAAAUUUUUAGAAUAAUUUAACUCUAUAAAUAUUAAAAAUUUAAAAAUAUUAAUAUAAAAUUAUAUUUAUAAUAUAUAAGACUAUUUUAUAGAAUUUUUUAAAUUUAUUUACCUAUAAAUUUUUCGAUCUUAAAAUUUUAAUAAAUAUAUAUAAUUUAAUUGGCUAAAAUACUAACUAACAUCCGUGAAGGAAAAAAAUUCUAGAAUGCACCAGUUAUAUUGAUGAUAUGGCGUCCCCUACUAAUCAAAUAGCUCUUUUUGGGGUUACUCAUCACAUCAUCAUUAUAAAAAAUAUUGUUUGUCACGCCCCAAGCCCGCCUCUUUGGCCGAAUUCGGGCACGCCAACAGACCGUCGAACGGACAGGAUUUUCCUUAUACCGCGGACAAAGUCUCCCCUAUACGUCCAAAGCGUCGCAACCCAAAUAAUACACAAGGUUCCAACCAAGAACAGCAUUCAACAAAGAUUGCAUAAGGAAGGAAUGAAAACAUAAGUACUAUUAUGCUAUUACAAGCAUUCAACUCAAUUCACAUUUUACAUCACAUAUUACAUUUUCCAUUCUCUUUAUAGCUUCCAAAUACAAUCUAGCUUAAACAAGAUAUUACAAAUUAGAUCCAACUUGGUUCUUUUCCUUUCACAACCCUAAGUUAAGCCGACUCAGGGUACCGCUAUCUCUGGUCUCGGUGGUAGGGCGCUAUCUACGGAGCUACGUCCUUUCCUCGCGCCGCCGCGCCAGUCACGUGUGUACAUGUACCCCCAAAAAUAAUGCGAGGGUGAGAACUAUUGUCCAUAGUUUCCAGUAGGUACGGCCACCCAAAGAAAAAGCUCGAUCCACAAGAUCCAAAGGAGGCACUACAAACAUGUUAGUCCAACAAAUAUUCACAGAUAGAUAAUUUAUGCAACUAACACUAUCAUGUUUAGGCAUUACAAUAUGCAACAUGCAAAUCAUGCAACUAUCCAAGUAGAUUAAUGAAUUCUACUCUUUAUUCUUUAUCAUUCUUUACUCUUAGUCAUUCUUUAUCGCUAAUCAUUCUUUUCAUUAUUAGCUAUCCAUUAGCAUUUGCUAUUCUUUAACAUUAGCCGUUCUUUAUUCUUUAUUCUUUAUUCUUAGUCACAACAUACUCAUUGGCCAUUCUUCCCUAAGGUUACUUUACCUUAGCCAACUAUACCACUUGACUCGGUCUUGAGUCAAUCAACUGCGGAUAAUCCGCGCUCUGUCAGACUCGAGGCGAAGGACGUCUCACAUGCACCUCAGCCUUAAAUCCUCUCGACUAUAGGUCUACUCAAAGGGUGAGGAUAUCCAUCGAACCCCGGACUACAAGUCGCUCAAUGGACCUACGGGCGAGGAGAACCACAUGUACCCGCGUCCCCAAUCUCAUACUCAAAUCGGGCGUGGAGAACCACACGUACCCGAUGAGUCACUGCCAGGCGAGGAGAACCACACGUACCUGCAGUUGCCAUACACUUACGCUCGGUCGCAAAGCUCAUCCGCUGCACUAGCAGCACUCAUUCCUAGGGAUUCCAGAAUCCACUUUCACGACUCUAGGGUUGGUCUCACCCUAUAGUAUCGACCUAUCUAGGUCCAAUGUCCCUUCCAUCCUAGGUCCUAUUGACUCUAGGUUUAAUGCCUCUAUCACACAUCCUAGGUUUACUUGACUCUAGGUUCAAUUCUCAAUCUAUAUUCUUUAACACUAGGUUUAAUACCACUCGUGAUUCCAACCUAUGUUUACUAACACUAGGUUCAAUGUCAUUCAUGUCAAACCUAUGUUUAUUAACACUAGGUUCAAUGCCACUCGAUUUAGUUGACAUCCUAAUUGUCCACAUCGAGUUUACAAAGCUAACAUGCAUCUUAUCUAACAUAAUCAACAAUAUGUUCAUAUGCAUGCUUCCUAACAUGAUCUCACAAUGCUAAUGUACCUAGCAUUUAUUCCACUAUGCCUAUAUAUACCAACAUGAAUCUAUCCACUAGCAUAUAUUCUCAAUGCAUCAUUAUGCAAUCAUCAACUAGCAUGGUUAUCAUAAUAUUAACCUGCACAUGCAAUCCACUUAGCAUUUCUAGUCCAUGUCUUUAUCUAAUGGCAGUUUAUAUAUUUUUAGUAUCUACGCAUCCGCAAUGCUACAACUACCAUAAUAUGCAUCAAUAUGAAUUCAAGCUCCACUUUGAUAUAGAGGCGACCUAGUCGUUUCGGUAAACACAACCCACCUCUUAAUGCGUUCGGAUUGCUUGUAGUCACUUGCAAUCGGCCUCCCGCGGCACUCGUUGUCCGGUUCGGCCCGAACUCGCACUCGACCACCAAAUGGCCUCCAAUCCACGAUCCGGAAAUUAAAGGUCUAUAACUUGACGCCACGAUGCUCCGGUUCCGUCUCGUGAUUUUUGGACGUCGCCUCGGCCCUCCAGGCGGAAACGAAGCCAAAACGUCCGUUUCUUCAAUAGCUUUGCAUAGGCUCGAUGAAUCACCGAACCGACUUCGCCAACGCGUCGGAAAUACCUUCAAUUAGGUUUGUAUAGGAUUAAUUUACAUCUAAACCCAUCUAUGACAAAAGCCCUAAUUUUGGUGCCCUAAUAAUGUCAUAAUCUAAUUUUUCCUAGAUUGAUCUUGUAACUAAGCAAAUACUAGUUUAGAAUCAUUUAGGAAACUCUCUAAUCUCAUUUCCAAUCCAUUUGAACCAUUCCUAGGGCAUCUAAAGCUAACCCUAGAAGUUCACCAUGGGAGAGCUUUGAGAAACCAUGGGUUUCAUGAUGCUCAUGCCACAAGAGAGCUUCUAACCUUGCAAGAAAGUCCAAAACACCAAAUCUUAGGGUAAAAAUCUAAACCGUAGAUGUAUUCUUGCAUGAGAACUCAUCUUAGCCCAAGCUCCUCCAAGUCCACCUUGUAAGAGAGCCUCCAAACCCUUCAAAAGCUCCAAUCUCCACUUGAUCUCCUCCAAAUCCAUCCCUUCUUCACCUUGUGGAGAGUUUCUAGAGAGAGUGAGGGAGAAGAAAUAAGGGAGAAGGGGAGGGUGUUUGGGGUUAUAUAUAGUAUGCUACAAUUGCAACUAGGUCCCCCAAAUAAUUGUAUUUAUAGCAGACUAAAUCUGUGCUGUCAGCCCAAAGUAUACCAGUACAGGCUAUGGUGUCACCGGUAACACGAUCUCAUAGAACCAAACCCGAGAGCAACUACUCGGGAUCUACCAAAGUGUACCGGUACACACCAGGGGUGUUACCGGUAACACACUCGCGCAGAGGCAAACCCGAGAGCAAUCUGCUCUCAGUCUGCGAUGGCUGUACCGGUACAGCAUCAAUGCUGUACCGGUACACUUUGCCCAGAUUAUUGUUUUAGCUCCUUUUCGACUCUACUUCGCGUCGAUCGAUACUAAAACCUUUCUAACCCCUUUUAAACUUAUUUUUAACCCUUCCAACAUUGUUGGAACGUUAAAUAGGACUUGUCCAACUAUUUAUUUUGCAUGCUUUAGUCAUUUUGGCUAAAGUCCAAUGUAGCUUACCGAAGUUUCGGUAUGUUACAUUGUUAAUGUACUAUUUUUUUUAGGAGAAAUGUGUUUGGCUUGUUAAUUUGGUGCUAAGAGUGCGUUUGGUUCGGAUUAUCCUGACAAGAUUACAGGCAAUCUUACCAGAAUUACUGUGUUUGUUUCAUCAGGUAUGUAAUAUAUUCGGUAUUGCAGCAUUAGGUGUAAAAUUACACUGAAAAUAUUAUCAGGGGGUGUGUAUUUUGGAUUACUGAAGGCAACUAAUAUUAUAUGUUAUUUAAAAUUACAAGUUUAUCCCUCCAACUCCCGAAACCUUUUCAAUACAUCAUUUUAAAAAUUUAAAUUUAAAAUUUUGAAUUUUAAAUUUAGAAUUUUAAUUUCUAAUUUUCAAAUUUAAAAUUUAAAAUUUAAAAUUUAAUUUGUAUUUUAAAUUCUAGAUUUUAAAUUUUAAAUUUUAAAUUUUAAUUUUAAAUUUAAAUUUAUAUUUAAAUUUUAAAUUUUAAAUUUAUAAAUUUUAUAUUUAUAUUUUAAAUUAAAAUAUUAAAUUUAUAUUUUUGUUCAAAUUUAAAAUUUAAAAUUUAAAAUUUUAAAAAUUUUAAAUUAUUUAAAUAAAAUUUAGUUAAAAAAAUAUUAUUUGUAAAUAGUAAAAAAACUUUGCCAAAUAUGGCUAAGGGCAAUUUUGGAAUAGAUUAUAUUUUAUUAUCAUGAUUACUGAAUUUUAUAGACUAAGCCAAACAUAGUAAUGAUAUAAACACUGCAAUUCAGCAUUAAAUUACUGUAUUAAACCAAACGUGCUAAUACAGCACGGUCGCAAUUUCAUCUAGAAAAUCAAAAUAUUUGAAUAUAUCCAAAUACUCUGAAAUAUUACAUAAUUCGAACCAAACGCGCCCUAAGUGUGAUACAGUAGGCCUCCUCUGCGAAGGGCGGGCUAGGGGUGUCAACAAGUCGAACACGAGCAAGUUGGGAUUGGCUCGUAUUCAGCUCAUUUCAUAAACGAGCCGAACAUGAGCUGACUUGUUAAAGUAUUAAGCCGAAUACGAGCUGGCUUAUGAAUAAGAAUUUAAAAGGAUUAGAAAGAAUAUAUAGAAGAAAUAAAUUUAUAAGAUCUUACUUGUUAUAUUUUGAUCUAAUGAUUGAAAUUUUACAUAUAAAUGAAUCAUUUUAUAAUCGAGUUGGGCUUUAUAUUUAGGUUGGCUAAAAAUUAAAUAAUAAAAAUGUAUAUUAUAUACAUAUAUAAUUAUUAAUUUAUAUAUGUAAAUAUAAAAUAUAUAUAUUCGAGCUGUUAUCAAGCCGAACAUGAGCUAGCUGAUCCCAGCUCGUGUUCGGCUUAUUUAUUAAAUAAGCUGAAAAUUUUAGCUCGUGCUCAGCUCAUUUAUUAAACGAGCAAUUCGAUCUUAAGCUCAUUUCGACCCGAACACGAGCUGCCUUGCAGAGCGAUGAGCUGGAUUGCCACCCAUCGGGCGGGCGUUUCGCAUUAAUAAACGAACGGAACAGGGAAGCAAAACUUAUACGUUAUCGUUUUGUCACGCCCCAAAUUACUCGUUCCCCGGGCACGCCGACAAAUCCGCCGUAUACAAAGAAAUUUUUCCUGUAUACGAAGCGAUAGCUUUACCUGUAAAACAUACAAUACUACAAACAGUAGUAUAGAGCUGCUAGAAGAACCAGUAACAAAAACAAACCGAGUUCCAUAUACAUACGCCAAAUCCAAGAUACAAAACUACUCGCACUGGUGAGUUAAAUAUAUGUAUGUACAUGAACUCCAAUAAAAAAAUAACUACCUGCUGUAGGGGCACCUCUAGCUCGACUCGUCGGGUAGGGUCUAACUCGUGACGCCCUUGCCUCGAUCCUGAUCAGCAACAGCAGCAGCCGAAGACGAUAGAUCUGCAAAAACGGGGUAACAACAGGGCGUGAGAACUACUGUAAAAACAAGUAGUCCUCAGUGAGUACUACCCUCAACAUCAUCGGUCCACCCACUAAGUCUACAGAAGGGAGCAAAGGUAGUAAUAAAUGCUGGAAUAAAAUCUACAGCUACCAUUUUUUACACUAUCAUGCUCUAAGCUGACCCACUGUAAUAAUGUCAAUCCUGACCCAAUCUCUUUAAGGACUGUAAACAUACCCGUCCCAGGGACUGUGAACACCUGUCCCGCCGAGUUGAGACUAUCGAGCUACCUCCACACUAUCCAGUCCGUGGAGAGUAAGUCUAACCAGCAUGAACGACACCAACGCGAAAGCACAAUGCCCGUCUCCGGAGUGGCACUCGUGGGAGCUACCCAACCGAGUAUGCAGCGUAUCUCUGUCGAGCUCAAUCAGGCUCUCUCAAGCCAAAGUCCAAAUAACCGACUUUACUGGUCUAACAACCAACAGGUCACGUGCCCUCGGCACAAUCCGACGCCAAAAAGGCGAUAUGGGUCCACCGUCAACACCGACGGCACCCAACAGUUCAGAAUAGUCUGAACGCUACUGUAAAAAUACACUCGGCAUCCCAGCACGAGCGUAACUGAAAGCUAAACUACCUGGGGUAUCCGUCGCCUCGAUACUACGAUGAUACAAAAUUACAACGGCUCCUAGAGCUAAAUUAGGUAGUGUAAACAGGUGACAGGUCCAAAUCGCUAGUUUUCUCCUAAGUUAAAUUCCAAAUCCAACAUGUAGUUUUAUGGUUUACUGAUCAUGUCCUCAAUGCUAAUUUCAUCCAUGAUACAAUCAACGAAAUUAAACUACAACAUGAUUUACAAAAACUGGAAAUCAUACAUGUCGACUAAUACUGUGCUUAGGAAUAAACCGAUGUAACCCAUCUCAAAGGCUAAUCCCCGGUAGCGAAGAGGGUCACCGGAGUCCCUGCCAAGCUCGGUUGCAACUCACCGAACCAGCAACAAUAACGCCCAAGGAUCUAAACAUAGAAACCCACAAUAAACACCGAUUCUGCUCAAAACAACAACAGCAGAGAGGAAUAGGGUUUCGACCAAGCUAACCUUCACCAAAAUAGGCAAUCUUGGGCUUCGUGGAUUCCUCUCGAAGUCCUGAAUCCAACGAACUAAGUCUUGCGGCAAUAUGACACUCCUACGUCGCGUACGAGUCGAAACACCGACGGUCGAUGCUGGAAAUCUGCAAAACAGCAUCCUUGAGCUCGGAAGUAAUAAAGACUUGCAACAGUUGAAGGAAUUGAUGAACAUCUCACCUUAACAGCGACUCUAGCACCGGCGCGACGUCGAGAACGGCGAAUACGCACCCUUGCACGGCCUCCUUGUGAUGCUACGGCAACAAACGCGCGCUCGAACGGCUCCGCGGCGCGACGUCGGCGACGAAAUACUCUACCCAAGCUCCUCCACGAUCGGACCAAGCUAGAGAGAGAGAGGAAAAGAAGAAGCAGGGAGAAUACUCCCUCUCAAGCUCUCUACACUUGUAAAUAGUAAGGAAGCAUGUGGGUGACACGAACGAGGUAAGAAAAGACCCAAUUGCCGUCUCACCUACCCUGGUGUACUGGUACACGGGCUCACGUACCGGUACAAGAAGCCAUCCCGAGAGCAGUCUGCGCGCAGCCUGUGCAGUGUACCAGUACACCCUGCUGGCUGUACCGGUACAGCAAGUAGAGAAACCUGCUAUUUGCAGAUUCUCUUGCUAAAUGCUGCUCUCGCGUCGCAUAGAGUCCGUUUUGCGUCUAUUUCACGCUAACGCGACUCAGACUUGCCCCGACACUCUCCAGAGCUGUCGACAAGCCUUAACAGCAGAACACCAGGGAUCUUACAUCCUCUCCCACUACAAAAAGUUUCGUCCUCAAAACUUAAACAUACCUCCACUCUGGGCAUCGAACAGAUAGGGAUAGGACUCCCUCAUCACCGUCUCAGGCUCCCAAGUCGCCUCCCGCUCAUCAUGAUUGCUCCACUGCACUUUCACAUAUGGGAUGACCCGGUUGCGCAAUUCUUUCGUUUCCCGAGCAAAAAUUCGCAACGGUCGCUCAUCGUAACUCAGAUCCUCGCCAAUCUCGAGUGGAGUAAAGUCAAUCACGUGAGAAGGAUCGAAAACAUAUCUCCUCAAUGCUGAGACGUGGAAGACAUCAUGAAUGCCAGCUAGUCGCGGGGGUAGAGCGAUCCUGUAAGCAACUGGUCCCACUCGCUCCAAUACCUCAAAAGGGCCAACGAAACGUGGACUGAGCUUUCCACGUACUCCAAAUCGGCGAAUCCCUCUGGAUGGCGAGACUUUGAGGAAUACAUGAUCUCCAACCUAGAACUCUAAGUCUCGUCUCCUGGUAUCAGCGUAGCUCCUUUGGUGGCUCUGGGCUGUCAAAAGGUGUCGUCGAACAACUCUCACCUUUUCCUCAGCCUCUAGCAAAAUCUCAGGCCCAAGCGUCUUCCUUUUACCCACAUCACUCCAGCACAAAGGGGAUCGACAUUUGCGUCCAUACAACGCCUCAAACGGAGCCAUCUAGAUGCUCGCUUCAUAGUUGUUGUUAUACGCAAACUCAGCCAGUCUCAAAUGUCGAUACCACUCUCCUCCAAAGUCCAGGACACAUGCCCUUAGCAUGUCCUCAAGAGUUUGAAUGGUCCGCUCUGACUUACCAUCUGUCUGUGGGUGAAACGCUGUGCUGAACUGCAACUAUGUACCCAAGGCUGUCUGUAAACUCCUCUAGAAGUGUGACACAAACCUCGGAUCUCUAUCAGAUACGAUCGAAAUCGGCACGCCAUGCAGCCUAACAAUCUCAUCCAGAUAUAGCUGUGCGAGUCUCUCUCUGGACCAAGUAGUCUGAACCGGUAAGAAAUGAGCAGACUUGGUCAAUCUGUCCACUAUCACCCAAAUCGCAUCGUAGCCACCCUGCGCUCUAGGCAAUCCCACAACGAAAUCCAUCAUGAUCUGCUCCCAUUUCCACUCGGGCACUGGCAGACUCUGAAGCUUGCCAGCAGGUACUUGAUGCUCGGCCUUUACCUGUUGAUGAGUCAGACACUGAGCCACAAAUCUGCCAAUGUCCCUCUUCAUUCCAUUCGACCAAAACUGGGCCUUCAAGUCCUUAUACAUCUUGGUUCCACCUGGGUGAACCGUAUAAGGAGAACAAUGAGCCUCUCUCAAGAUGUCCUCUCGGAUCCCUGAAUCCAUAGGCACACACAGUCGGUCCCUGUACCGCAGUACACCCGAACUGUCCACAAAAAAGUCCUCAGCCUGUCUCCGCUCUAGCUGCUCUCGAAUCCUCGACAAGUACGGAUCUCCACUCUGUUUCUCUCGGAUCCUAUCCAACAAAGUGGGCUGUAAGACCAAAGACAUCAGUCUCGCAGUAGAUCUAGGGGACACUAUCUCGAGCCUCAACCGCUGUAGCUUCUCGAGUAACGGCCUCUGCUGUGUGAUCAUCAAACUCAAGCUCUGCACUGCCUUCCUGCUCAACGCAUCUGCCACCACGUUCGCCUUGCCGGGAUGAUAAUGAAUACAAAUGUCAUAGUCCUUCAGUAACUCCAACCACCGGCGUUGCCUCAGAUUCAAUUCCUUUUGGGUGAACAAAUACUUGAGACUUUUAUGAUCAGUAAAAAUCUCGCAGUGCUCACCGUACAAGUAAUGCCGCCACAACUUUAAUGCAAAGACUAUCGCGGCAAGCUCCAAGUCAUGCGUAGGGUAAUUCUUCUCAUAAUCUUUUAACUGCCGUGAAGCAUAAUCAAUUACCCUACCAUGCUGCAUCAGCACACAACCCAGUCCACUGUGCGAUGCAUCACUGUAGAUCACAAAUCCUUCCCCAAUCACAGGAAGGGCAAGGAUAGGAGCCGAUGUCAACCUCUAUCUCAACUCAUCAAAGCUCCUCUGGCAAUCCUCACUCCAGAUGAAUCUAAUCCUCUUUCGCGUCAAUCGAGUGAGGGGUGUGGAAAGCUUCGCAAAGCCUUCCACAAACCGACGGUAAUAUCCUGCAAGUCCAAGAAAACUCCUCACCUCUGUCACUGUCGUCGGUCUGGGCCAACCCCAAAUCGCAUCAAUCUUCUUCGGGUCAACUGCUACUCUCUCUGCUGAUAUCACAUGGCCCAAGAAAGCAACCUCCCGUAACCAGAACUCACACUUCUUUAACUUUGCAUACAACUUCUUCUCUCUCAGAAGCUGUAGCACAGACCUCAAGUGUUCCUCGUGCUCGGCAUCACUCCGGGAGUAUAUCAAGAUAUCAUCUAUGAAGACUACCAUAAACCUAUCCAAGAACGGCUUGAACACUCUGUUCAUCAAAUCCAUGAAUGCGGCAGGGGCAUACGUCAAUCCAAAAGGCAUCACCGUAAACUCAUAAUGCCUGUACCGAGUCCGAAAAGCCGUCUUGGGAACAUCCUCGGCCCUCACCCUCAGCUGGUGGUAAUCGAAUUGGAAAUCAAUCUUCGAGAAGACACAAGAUCCUUACAGCUGAUCAAACAGCUCAUCAAUGCGCGGCAAAGGAUACUUGUUCUUGAUGGUCACCUUAUUCAGCUCCCGGUAAUCCACGCACAACCUGAGCGAACCAUCCUUUUUCUUUACAAAUAACACCGGCGCUCCCCAAGGCGAUACACUAGGUCUCACAUACCCCUUAUCCAUCAGAUUCUGAAACUGUACCUUUAGCUCUCUUAGCUCAGUCGGUGCCAUCCAAUAAGGUACCUUUGAGAUUGGUGUAGUUCCAGGAACUACAUCAAUCACAAACUCAAUCUCUCUCCAGCGGUAUCGUCGUCAACUCAGGGGGAAACACAUCCGAAAACUCUCGGACUACAAGAAUAUCCUCGAGUCCCGGCGCCGCCGCAGGUACCUCUACAACAGUCGCCAGAAAGGGAACACAUCCUCUAUUCAUCAGCUGUCGAGCCUUCGCCGAAGAUAUUCAAGUGGCAAACAGCGUGCUCCUGCAGCCUCUAAAAGUAAACUCCCCCUGGCCUGGCUCGCGGAACGUCACCGUCCUCGCUCCACAGUCGAUCGUAGCAUAGUACCGCGCCAGCCAAUCCAUACCGAGCACGACGUCGAAGUCCUGUAGCUGCCCUAACACCAACAGGUCUGUGGGCAUGAUCCACGAAUCCAACUGCACCAAACACGACCAACAACACUCUGCAACCUGUAAAACAUGGUCCGGUAUCUACACCUCUCGUGCUUGAGACAACAAUCCUAAUUCUAGACCAUGCAACAAUGCAAAUACUCGGCUAACAAAGGAAUGCGAUGCACCAGUAUCAAAAAGUGUACGAGCUCUAAUGCCAGAAAUAAGAAUGAUACCUGCCACCACUCGGUCGGCUGCUGAAAAGUCCUCCACCUGGGCUGCAUAUACCCUGCCGCUCGGAGCCUGCUGUCGCCGCCGCCCUGAGGCGGCAUAGACGAUCUGUCCUCCUGGCGAAAACUUGGAACUACUCCAAAAGACUGCGGAGGUCCAGGCUGCGCUGACGCGAUGGAUAGUGCUGGUGAUGCUGCUCGGGGACACGCUGAUCUCAUAUGCCCGGACUGACCGCAACUGUAACACCUGCCCUCUCUCUGCUCGCACUGCCGGGGCCAGUGUGGUCCGCCGCAGAUCACACACUGCGGUGUCCUCUGAAUCUGUCCCUGCUGACGGGAUCCCCUGGAACGCUGACGCCCCGAAGAUCCACGACCCUGAGAGCGUGAUCGUGGAGGCCUCGGCGGACGCCUGCUGCUCGACUGUCCAGCAUCAUCUGAAAGGGGCGCUUCCUGUCCUGACUCUGCCCCACGGCCUGAGUCCUCUCCUGCAGCGACACCUCACCUCUCUCCACCCAUAAGGCCUGCUCUAUGGACGCAUCCAGGGUCCUCGACCUCUGCGCCUGUGCCAACCUGAAGAUGUCGGGUCUCAGCCCCUGCUCAAACAGAUAAACCCUAUAUGCCUCGUCCCUGGCCACAAAUGGUACACAGUUCAGGAGUCGAGUAAACUCUCGAAUGUACUCCUGUACUGGACGAUCCCCCUGCUGAAUCCUCUUCAAAUCCUCCUCGAGCUUCUAUUUCACACUGUUGGGGAAAAACAUCCUAAACAGCAUUCCAUAGAACUCAUCCUAUCUCAGCUGCAACGCUACCAAUCCCUGCUCUCUCCUCACUCUCCUCCACCAAGCGUGGGUAUCACCUGCCAAGCAAUGGACUCCCAAAAAUACCUGCUCCCACUCAGGAAUGAACAGAUCCUCAAAUAGCUUCUCCAUCGCACUGACCCAGCCCUCAACAACCUAGGCCUCAGUGCAACUGCCAUCGAAGGUCGGCGGAUCAAAACGGCGGAAACGAGCCAACCUCUCUGUCAACCGCUCCUGCUCGGCCUCUGUCAACUGUACUGGUCCCCUAGCAGGCGCAACUGGUGCUACUGGAACUGCUGCUGGCGGAGGGACUGCUGCUGGCGGAGGGACUGCUGUAGCUGGUGCUGUCACUGGGGUAGUCGGAGGUGGAACAGACGACUCUGGUGCCCUCGGUGCUGAACUUUGGGGCGAAGCUAGCCUCUCGCACAUCCUCUCCAAUAACUCCCUCUACCGCCUCGUCACCUCUGUCCGGGCGGCUAACUGUGCACUCAAGUCCGGGGAUGCACUCGCCUCCGAUCGAACACUCUGCUCCUGCCGGGCACUCGGCUCCGCAUGCUCAGGCAUCUCGAAAGGUCCCGCACGAUCCUGCGACAACUGGGCACGCUCCAGUAAUAACGGUCGACCUCGACGACGAUACAUAGCUAAAAGGAACAGAUCGAGGUCAGAUGAAACACAAACACUCUCAACCCAAUCAACGAAAGUCUGGAAGGCGGGCCCCUGUUUUCCUCCAAAAUUAUGUUGUCUGCAGCCAACAUAAUUUCUCAGGCCAAAACAGGCACUCCUUCAAUCACUCACCCUACUCUAGGAGGAGUUAGAACAAUUAAUCAUUAACUUUCGCAAUAAAUUACGCCUCUCGCGUCUUGCCUUUUUAAGGUUUGCCAAACUUAGAUUUUUCUAGGUCCCAACGACCUACUGCUAAGCUCUAAUACCAACUUAAUCUGUCACGACCCGGAUUACUCGUUCCCCGGGCACGCCGACAAAUCCGCCGUAUACAAAAAAAAUUUUCCUGUAUACGAAGCGAUAGCUGUACCUUUAAAACAUACAAUACUACAAACAGUAGUAUAGAGUUGCUAGAAGAACCAGUAACAAAAACAAACUGAGUUCCAUAUACAUACACCAAAUCUAAGAUACAAAACUACUCGCACUAGCGAGUUAAAUAUAUGUAUGUACAUGAACUCCAACCAAAAAUAACUACCUGCUGUAGGGGCACCUCUAGCUCGGCUCGUCGGGUAGGGCUCUAACUCGCGACGCCCUUGCCUCGAUCCUGAUCAGCAACAGCAGCAGCCGAAGACGAUGGCUCUGCAAAAAUAGGGUAAUAACAGGGCGUGAGAACUACUAUAAAAAUAAGUAGUCCUCAGUGGGUGCCACCUGCAACAUCAUCGGUCCACCCACUAAGUCUACAGAAGGGAGCAAAGGUAGUAAUAAAUGCUGGAAUAAAAUCUACAGCUACCAUUUAUUACACUAUCAUGCUCUAAGCUGACCUACUGUAAUAAUGUGAAUCCUGACCCAAUCUCUUUAGGAACUGUAAACAUACACGUCCCAGGGACUGUGAACACACCCAUCCCGCCCAGUUGAGACUAUUCAGCUAUCUCCACACUAUCCAGUCUGUGGAGAGCAAGUCUAACCGACAUGAACGACACGAACGCGAAAGCACAACGCCCGUCUCCGGAGUGGCACUCGUGGGAGCUACCCAACCUAGUAUGCAGCGUAUCUCUGUCGAGCUCAAUCAAGCUCUCUCAAGCCAAAGUCCAAGUAACCGACUUUACUGGUCUAACAACCAACAGAUCUCGUGCCCUCGGCACAAUUCGACGCCAAAAAGGCGAUAUGGGUCCACCGUCAACCCCGACGGCAUCCAACAGUCCGGAAUAAUCUGAAUGCUACUGUAAAAAUACACUCGGCAUCCCAGCAUGAGCGUGACUGAAAGCUAAACUACCUGGGGUAUCCAUCGCAUUGACACUGCGACGACACAAAAUUACAACGGCUCCUAGAGCUAAUUUAGGUAGUGUAAAUAAGUGACAGAUCCAAAUCGCCGGUUUUCUCCUAAGUCAAAUUCCAAGUCCAACAUGUAGUUUUAUGGUUUACUAAUCAUAUCCUCAAUGCUGAUUUCAUCCAUGAUACAAUCAAUGAAAUUGAACUACAACAUGAUUUACAAAAACUGGAAAUCAUACAUGUCGACUAAUACGGUGCUUAGGAAUAAACCGAUGUAACCCAUCUCAAAGGCUAAUCCCCGGCAGCGAAGAGGGUCACCGGAGUCCCUGCCAAGCUCGGCUGCAACUCACCGAACCAGCAACAAUAACGCCCAAGGAUCUAAACAUAGAAACCCACAAUAAACACCGAUUCUGCUCAAAACAACAGUAGCAGAGAGGAACAGGGUUUCAACCAAACUAACCUUCACCCAAAUCGGCAAUCUUGGGCUUCGUGGAUUCCUCUCGAAGUCUUGAAUCCAACGAACUAAGUCUUGCCGCAAUAUGACACUCCUACGUUGCGUACGAGUCAAAACGCCGAUGGUCGACGCUGGAAAUCUGCAAAACAGCAUCCUUGAGCUCGGAAGUAAUAAAGACUUGCAACGGUUGAAGGAAUUGAUGAACAUCUCACCUCAACAAUGACUCUAGCACCGGUGCGACGUCGAGAACAGCGAAUACGCACCCUCCCCCGGCCUCCUCGCGAUGCUACGGCAACAAACGCGCUCUCGAACAGCUCCGCGGCACGAUGUCGGCGACGAAAUACUCCACCCGAGCUCCUCCACGAUCGGACCAAGCUAAAGAGAGAGAGAAGAAGAAGAAGCAGGAAGAAUACUCCCUCUCAAGCUCUCUACACCUGUAAAUAGUAAGGAAGCAUAUGGGUGACACGAACGAGGUGAGAAAAAACUUAAUUGCCCUCUCACCUACCCUCGUGUACCGGUACACGGGCUCGCGUAUCGGUACAAGAAGCCAACCCGAGAGCAGUCUGCGCGCAGCCUGUGCAGUGUAUCGGUACACCCUGCUGGCUGUACCGGUACAGCAAGCAGAGAAACCUGCUAUUUGCAGAUUCUCUUGCUAAAUGCUGCUUUCGCGUCGCAUAGAGUCCGUUUUGCGUCUAUUUCACGCCAACGCGACUCAGACUUGCCCUGAUACUCUCCAGAGCUGUCGACAAGCCUUAACAGCAGAACACCAGGGAUCUUACAUGUUUGGUUUGGGGAUAAGUAAAAAGUAGCUAUUCCAGGGAUAUGUAUAAAUUGAGGUAUAAGCGGGGAUUAGAUCAAUUUUGCAUUUGAAUAAAAAUUGGGUUAUUCUUGGAAAUAAGAAAAAAUAGCGUUUGGUUAGAUAAGAUGGAAUAAGAAGAAUAGUAGGUNAUUCAUUAAAGUAAGUCAUUAGAUUAAAUUCCUUUUAUUCUGAAUAAAUAAUUUCAAUCAAUCAAAUUUAAGAUUUUAUUAAGUUUAUCAGAAUUUUUCAAAUUUGAUGCUUAUAAUUGACAAUUGAUGAUAUUUCUUUCCAAAUAAAACUCACAUAGUCAACUACAAAUAGAAUAUAGAGCCAUUAAUAUAUAACCAAAUUUUUUUUUUAAUUAACAAAAUAAAUAAUAUUUAAAAAUUGAAGGAAUUCAAUUGAAAUAAGUAAAUUGAAAGGUUCAAUUUCAAAAUGGCCAACAGUUGAAAAACUUAUAUAUAUGUAUAUACAUUUUUAUUAUUUGGUGUGAGUGUUAAAAAUUUAAAAGCGUUGCGUUAGACAAGGGGAUUAGAAUAUGUUGAAAAACAGAGAUUAAAGGUUCUAUACUCCUUAGGAAUCAUAAAGAUUUCUAAUUAAUUAUGCCUAUUCACAUUUAGACAACCUCCGAUUAAGCUGGUCAAUUAUGAUAAUUAGCAAAACAGAAUGUAUUUCUUUUUUUAUUCUUGUACAUCGGUUGUCACACCCCGGAUUCCUCGUUUCUCCGGGCACGCUAACAGACUCGCCGUACAUAUAGGAAUUUUUUCUGUAUGCGAAGCGAAGCUGUACAUGUACCUGUAAUCAUACAACACUACAACCAGUAGUAUAGAACUGCUAGAAAGGAAUGAAACAUAUAUAAUAACAGUGGUUCAAUACAUACAUAGCAUCUGGGUACAAAAAUACUCGCUCCAGCGAGGUACAACAUCAGUAUGUAGAGAACCAAAAACUACAACUACCUAUAGCUGGUACUCGCAAUGCAUUUGCCAUGAUCAGUAUCAGUAGUAGCAGCAGCCGCAACCGAAGGCUCUGCAAAAUAUCCACAACUGGGCGUGAAAACUACUGUAAAAAGAAGUAGUCCUCAGUGGGUACAGCUACCGACCUCAACGGCUUAUCCACUAAGUCUACAAAAGGUAUAUUCAAAGAUAGUAAAGGAAGCUGGAACAAAUCUACAGCUAUAUGCCACUAUACUAUCAUGAUCCGACACUACUAUCUGUAAAAUAACGCGAUCUCUGACCCCAAUCUCACUAGGGACUGUGAACACACCCGUCUCAGGGACUGUGAAUACACCCGUCCCGCCUGUCAAAACUAUACAGCUACCUCCACACUAAACAGUCCCUGGAGAGUAAGUCCAACUAGGACACAUCGACACCAACGCAACAGCACUAAGUCCGACUUCGGAGUGGCACUCGUAGGCGCUACCCAACCGAGUAUGUAAGCGUAUCUCUGUCGAGCUCAAUCAGGCUCUCACAAGCAAUAGUUAAGUAAACAUGGUCUAACAACCAAACUCACAUGCCCUCGAUAUAAUCUGAUGCAAAAACAGCAAUCUGGGUUCACCAUCAACCUCAACGGCACCCGACAGUCCGGAACAGCCUAAUUCUGCUGUAAAAAUAAGCUCGACAUCCCGGCACGAGCGUAAAUACAUUCUAUACUAUCCUGGAUAUCUACCGCCUACAAACUGCGGUGAUACAAACAAAUUACGGCUCUUAGAGCUAAAUCUGAUAGUUUUAACAUAUGACCGUGUAGAAUCAGCAGUUUUUUCCUAAGUCAAAUCAAAGUCCAACAUAUAUUAUUUAACUAAUAGUAUAAGCCCCAAUUUAGAUUUAGAACCUCCGUAAAUCAGUAAAUCGAGCAAUUAAACAUGCUGUAUAAAAACAGCGAAUACAUGUCGACAACUACUAAACUUAGGAAGAAAUCCGUGUAACUCGGUAAGCAUCACAUUAAACCCACCUCUAACGCAAAAUUCACGGCAGCGAGAAGUUCACGAAGUUGCCGACAACCCUGCUGUAACCAGCCGAAAACACCGAGGACUAGCAACCAAGCAACUUCGAGGAUCUAAACACCAAAAAUACAAAAAAAUGCAUUAUAACCCUCAAAUUUCAGCACCUAAGCUAAAACCUCCACUUCCAAUGUGAAAAUUCACCUAACAAUCUUCAAAUUGGGUGAAAAAGGUCCCAAUUCCAGUAGACUAUGUUGGAGUAUCACCCUCUGGUUCAAAAUCUCACUUCCUCCAAAGAUUGCAUCAUGAAAACCCAAAAACAACACAAAUCAGCUCAAAGCCACCAGCAGCAGAGAAAAACCUAAAAUUGACUAAGCUAAUCUCAAUCAAAUUCUGUCAAAAUGGGCUCCACGAAUUUCUCUUGAAGUUCAAAAUCUACCAAACCAAGUUUCGUGGCAAACAGAGCUUUCUACGUCGAACACGAGUCAAAACGCCGAAAGUCGCUACUGGAAUUCUGCUGAAACUGCAGUCUUCAAGGUAGAAAGUGUGCAAUUUGGAGAAAUUAGGAGUAAUUUGAGGGAUUGCAAUGCAAAUUGGCCUUCACUGUGAAGAGGAGAUGAAAAGAGUUCACUGGGGACGAACUCUAGCUAUUUAUAGGGAGGAGAAAUUGUCAGAUAAGCCUAAGGUACAAAUAACACAAACCUGCUGUCCCUGCAGAAACGGGCAGUUUCGGGCGCCCGAAACAAGGUUCUGGGCAUCCGAAACAUCCAGGCUACACACUUACUCCACUUUGGACCCACAUCUGGGUGCCCGAAAUAUAGGAUCCGAAUUGGCUUCCAGUUCUGCUCAGACCAGCACUCAAGUUCUGGGCGAUCCAAAUUCAGUUCUGGGCGCUUGAAUCUGGCAAAACUCCAGUUUUGCUUAUUUGAGUGCGCCGAGUCCAUUUCUGCAUCCAUUUCAUGCAGAAACGACUCCGACUCAGAUCGACACUCUCCAGAUGUGUCGACCAGUCACUAAUACUAUAGCCAAUUCUAUCCAAACCUCCGGAACACUACAUCGGUGUACAGAAAUUAAUACAACUGAAAAAGAGGAAAAGCGACAAUUAUCAUCUCUCUACUUCUCUCCUCGUCAAGGUAUUUCUCCAAACAAUGUGAACCAUGCAUCAUGCAUAAGCUUUUUUUGGUAUUUCAUCGAGCAUUUGACAUGCACACAAGUAAUAUGCAAAUUGUUUUCGACAUUUCAUCGAAUACUUGGCACGCGUACAUGAACAAUACAGCAUGCACAAAUUUUUUUGGCAUUUUGUCUAACACUUGGCAUGUGCACAUAAACUAUCCAUCAUGCACAACUUGUUUUUGACAAAUUAAAGCAAAUUAAAAACAACGACAAUCAAUAAUUUGAUUGGAGCUUUCCGUCGAUGGCUAAGCGUCAAGCGGAUGAUCGCUGUCGUCGUUGUCGUCGUCUAUCGCCGACGGCUAAGCGUCAAGCGGAUGAUCGUCGUCGUCGUUGUCGUCGUCUACCGCCGACGGCUAAGCGUCAAACGGAUGAUCGUCGUCGUCAUUGUCGUCGCCACCUUUACCGCCGAUGGCUAAGCGUCAAGCGGAUCGUCGUUGUCAUUAUCCGACGGCAAAGCGUCAAGCGGAUCAUCGUCGUCGUUGUCGUCAUCUACCGCCGACGGCUAAGCGUCAAGCGGAUCGUUGUCGUUGUCGUCGCUACCUUUACCGCUGACGGCAAAGCGUCAAGUGGAUCAUCGUCGUCGUUAUCGUCAUCUACCGCCGACGGCUAAGUGUCAAGCGGAUGAUCGUCGUCGUCGUUGUCAUCGUCUACCGCCGGCGGCUAAGCGUCAAACAGAUGAUUAUUGUCGUUGUCGUCGCCGUCUUUACUGCCACUUAUCGCCGUCGUUGUCGUCGCCCUUACCGUCGACGGCAAAGCGUCAAACGGAUCGUUGUCGUUGUCGUCGCCACCUUUACCGCCGACGGCAAAGCGUCAAGCGGAUGGUCGUCGUCGCCUUUCUCCACCGCUCAUCGCCGUCGUUGACGUCAACGCAACAGCAGCAGGAGGAUGGUCACCUCCUUGGUCGAUGAUGGCGCCACAACAGCAAAAAGGAACAGGCACCACUUCGGCAUUAAUGACGACGGGGCAACGACAGUUAGCUACGGAGUAAGAAUGCCAACGAGCGGUCUUAUUUUAUUGGUUGGCGACGACCCGGCGUAGUAGAGGUUGAUGACGGCAUGUGUAGCCCGGUGUGCAUAGAAAGCUCGAUGUAUAAAGUGCCUUGACUAGGAGAGAGAGAAAGAGAAAAUAAAAGUGAGAGAAUCUAAACCCACCUUUCUAUUUGGCUCUUUUUUUUAUCCAAGUUUUCUUUUCUCUCUUUUUUUUUUUGUGAGUAGAAUCCCCUUCCAUAUUUUUUUGUUCACUUAUCUUUAUAUAGAUAGAGGGUGGUGAAGGUUUAUGGUGUAGAGAAGAGUAAAUAGUGGAGAAGUGGAGGAAAUGAUGGAAAAGUGGAAGGAGUGAUGGAGAAGUGGAGGGAAUAGAGGGAAAGUAGAGGGAAUAGUGGAGAAAGUGGAGGGAGUGAUGGAGAAGUGGAGGGAAUAGAGGGAAGUGGAGGGAGUGAUGGAGAAGUGGAGGGAGUGGUGGAGAAGUGGAGGGAAUGGUGAGAAGUGGAGAAGGGAGUGAUGGAGAAGUGGAGGGAAUGAGGGAAGUGGAGAUGAUGGAGAAGUGGAGGGAUGGGAAAGUGACAUGGUGGAGAAGUGGAGGGAAUGGAGGGAAAGUGGAGGAAAUGGUGAAGAAAGUGGGUGGAGUGAUGGAGAAGUGGAGUAAAUGAUGGAGAAAGUGGAGGGAGUGAUGGAGAAGUGAUCUUUUUUUUAUUUUUAUUUUUAUUUUUAUUUUUCUAACAUUUGGAUUUUAAGCUGACCCAAAUAUAAAAAAAAGGACUUAUAGUUUGUGAAUUUCAUUAUUAGAUUAAGAUUCUAAUUUUUUUUUUCAAAUUUCACCCAAUAAUAGAGUUAACAAUCUAACUUUUUGUUCGCGAGCCAGCUAAUGUUCAGCUCGUUAAUAAACAAACCAAGUGCAAGCUAGAUUUUUGAACUUGGUAUUUUAACAAAUUCGAUUCAUUUAAUAAACCAACGAACACGAACUAGUCCCAGCUCACUGGUGUUCAGCUUGUUUACAACCCUAGUCCUAAACAUACAGCGAUAUUGCUCAACGCAUCAAAAUUUUGCAUACGGAACUGUAGAGAAUUCAAACCCAUAGCUGAUAGUUUCGUGGAAAGGGGGUGGUCUCAAACAUUUUGUUUCUAUUUUCCACCUGUCUUUGCGAGAUAAGGAGGAAAUCUAUUAUGUAGUAGUCACACCACAUUAUCUAUAAUCAGUUAAUUCUAUCUUUUUUUAAAAAAAAUAAAAAUAUAAUAAAAAUAUUUUUUAAAAAAUUAUAAUAAAAUAGAUAAAUUUUAAAUAUAAUAUGAUUGAUUGAAAACAUCGUAAUUGCAAAAUGACUGUCAUAUGUUUAACUGUUUGGAAUACAAAGAGGACAAGGCACUUAUUAAAGAAAGGGUACCAGUGCAUGUGAAUGCCCACUACAUUGAGCCAGUGAAUUAGCUGCAGCUAUGAGUGAUGCUUUGGGGAUUAUGUGUGAGGAUGCUAAAGUAGAUAUUAAGCCUUUGAACUUUGUCCAAUUACGCGCCAGUGGUCUCUUUUUCAAAUUCAAAUAAUUGAACACUUUCUUUUAUUAAAAAAAAAAAAGCUAUAUUUGUAAAAAACUUCAAAUUUCAUUACUGUAGUUUCGUACUUUUUUUAUUUUAGUAAUCUGUGAUUUAAAAUAUAUCAAUUUAAUACCCUGUUUUUUAUUAUUUUUUUUAUUUUUUUUUUGAGAGAUAGGUAGCACGCUAUCCGCUUCGUUUAUUCCAUUUAGAAAUAAACUUAGCUGGAAAUGUGAAUCAACUAGGAUUCGAACUUGGGUCUCAGGUACCAACCAUCAAGCCCUUUGUCACUUGCUCUAGGGACGGCUGUGUUUUUAUUUUUCUCUUUUGUUUAUUCUCUCUAUUAAUUUUUUUUCGUUAAAUCAGUGAUAAAGUUAAAACUAAAAGAUACUAAAGUGAAUAUUUGAUAAACCUAGGUGGAGUAUUUGAAGUGUUUUGUAUAUAAUUUAACGAAAUUAAUAUUGACGGAGGAGCUGACGAAAAAAAAAAAGAAACUAUAGGAUACUAAAUUGAUACACUUUAAAACACAUGGUACUAAAGUGAAAAAGUGCGAAACCAUAUGAAUGGUAUUUGAAGUUUACCCAAAAAAAAUUAAAAUUAAGGCAGUUGUUAGGCUUCAUUUAAUGAAGUUUAAUAACAUUUUUAUAAAAUUAGUGAGUAAAUAUUAGUCCUUGAAUCACUUGAAUGUAAGAUCUAUAACCCUAUAAAUAGCAUUACUUUUUUUAUCUUCAAAUCUUAUUUUUUAUUGAUGAUAUACACGCCCUAUUCAUUCAAAUGCUAACAUAUAUUUCAGUAAAAACGUACAAAAAUUAUUUGAAUUAUGAACCAUUUUGAAUUAGUUAUCGAACCUUUCAAAAAUUUAAUUUUACUAACAAAUCUUCCAAUUUAUUUGAUUUUAAUAAGUCAAUAAAAUUUUGACUUCAAAAUUUGAAUACGGUGUAUAUCUUUAUAUAUUUAGUUAGUAUAUUUUUUACAUUUCUCACAAAUAUAAAUUGAUUAAAAUAAGUGAUUAAUUUAAAUUUUAAAGUCAAGCUGACUAAUUUAAAUCAAAUAAAUUAAGAGAUCAGAUAAUAAAAUCAAGAUUUUUAAAAUGUGGAUAGUCAAUUCAAAAUGAUUCUAAAAGGUGCUGUAUAUUUUUAUCUAUUCUUUCACAAGUCUAAUUAGGUUUGUUUCUUAAAAUAGAAAAAACAAAAAAAAAAGUGAACCAUUAAAUGAGUCCAAAUUUAUAAAGUGCGAAUGUAGUAUUUUUCAACAAAAAGAUUAGUAAAUAUUAAUUGCACUAAUUUUUUUGCUAAAUUACAAAAAAAUUUCUUGUAACUGGCAUUUUAUUUUUUUUCUUUUUUUUUCUAAUUUUAAAAAAUCUAUAUUUUGCUAUUUCAAAAUUUUAGAAAUAUUUUUAUAAAAUUAUGGUGCUAAUGAAGAGGACAAAAUGAUCAAAUUACUUUUAUAUUUAUUCUAGAGAAAAAAACAUUUCUAAUAUAUUUUUAUUAUUUUGAAAAAUAAUUAUAAUACAAAUUAUACGAAAUAGACGGAAUAGCGAUAAAAUACUGGUAGCAGGGGAGACUUAUGUGACUAACAAAAUGACCAAGUCAAUUCUUUUGCUUAUUCUAGAAAAAAAAAAAUCUUUUACCGUUCGGGUAUAAGUAAGCACUAGCUAUUACAGGGAUAGAUACAAGUAUGGGAUACGAAAAAUAGCGUUUGGAUAAAUAUUGUGUUGUUUUCGGGGAUAAAAAAAGUAGCGUUUGGAUAGAUAAUAUGGAAUAAGAAAAAUAUUAGAUAGUUUUAUAUAAAAAAUGGAGGUGUUGGUGGGAAUAGUUAUACCGGUUAUUAUAGAUAACUGAGAACUACUAUUCUCGGGUAAAAAAUUAGCGUUUGGGUAUAAAGGGGAUAAGGGCCUAUCCCUAUCCCUAAGUUAUAAUAUAUAUUUUUAUUAUUUUAUUAUAAAUUAUUGGAAAAACUUCAAAAAACCCUUCUGUGGUUUCGUAGUUUCUCACUUUGCCUUCCUGUGGUUUAAAAUGUAUCAAUUUACUCCCCUGUUGUUUCUUUUUUCUCUUUUUCUUACCAAUUUUAUUAUUUUUUUUCUUAAAUCAGUGCUAAAGUUAAAAUCAAAGGGUACUAAAGUGAAUAUUUGAUAAAUUUAGAUGGGUAUCUGAAGUUUUUUGUAUAUAAUUUAAUAAAAUAUUAACGAAAAAGCUAUCAAAAAGAUAAAAACGAAACUACAGAGAGGUAAAUUGAUACAUUUUAAACCACAUGGGGGCAAAGUGAGAAACUACAAAACCACACGGAAGGUUUUUGAAGUUUUUCCAUUAUUUUAUAUGAAAUACAAAAAGCAGUGACGAAAUGUGAGAGAAAUGAGCUAAGGUAUCGUUUGGUUCGAGGAUAAGCAAAAAGUGACAAUUCCAGGGAUAUGUAUAAAUUGAGGUAUAAGCGGGGAUUAAAUCAAUUUUGCGUUUGGGUGAAAAUUGGGUUAUUCUUAGGAAUAAAAAAAAUAGCGUUUGGUUAGGUAAGAUGAAAUAAUAAUUAAAGUGGGUAGUUAUAAAUAAAAAAUAAUAAUAUUACCCUCCCUCUUAUUAUAUUUGAAUUUAAAUUUUAAAUUUUUAAAUUUAAGAUUUUAACUUUGAAAUUUUAAAAUUUGAAAUUUAAAAUUUAAAAUUUAAAAUUUGAGAGUUUGAGAUCAAAUUUAAAUUUAAAAAAUAUAAAAUAUAAAAUUUUAAAUUUUAAAUUACCAUGCCAACUUUGCUUAGUGUUUGGCAAAAAUUUAUAAACUUACUAAUUGAGAACCUUUUGAAGCCUUAUCCUUAACUCAAGGAAUAUGGUGCCCACUAUUUUAUUUUAUUUAUUAAAUUUAUUAGAUGGGAAUGCUUUUUUUAUCCUCAUCUUUGAAAAUGGACUCAAUAAAGAAAUGUGGGCCCAUUUUUUUAUUUAUUAAAUAAGAAUGAUUUUUUUAUUUAUUAAAUGACAAUGGCUAAGUUUAAGUUAAAAUAAAUUUUAAUGUUUCUAGAAAAAGUAUAUUAAUUAGCCGAAAGCUUACAAAAUGUUUUAUUAUUGAUCGUCAACAUUUUCAUCACAAGAUACUUGUUUCUUUAUUGAUUUUUUUUUUACUUUUUCUUUUUAAAUUAUUAUCUUUCUCUUUUUUUACCUGUUAUUUAGUAAAAUUGUUAUAGUUUUGAUGAUGUGUUUCUGUCAGAAAAAUAACUUUCAUAUUUCUAAGACUUAGUUUGGUAUUUAUCUAAUGCUAUUAAAUAAAAUAGAAUUGAGAAAAAAAUAUAUAGAGAUAUGCACCGAUGAAAUAGUAGAAAAUAUAUCAUAACUAACUCAUCGCAAUAUGCGAAACGUAAUAUUAUGUACGAAAAUAAACAGAAUAUUUUUCUAUCGCUCUUUUUCACCGCACAUAACGCAAUCUUUCUACAACCCCAAACGAAACCUAAGUAGUAAAGAAAUUAAAUAACAGCCUCAUAAUUGAGUUAAACACAAAAAUUGUAAAACCAAACAAAACUGCUUCCUUCUAUUUUAAUUACUAAAAACUUGCCUAUUCUGUAUAGUUUAUAUUUUUUUUUUCCCUUUUUUGUUAAAUUUUCU